AGAGGGUGUCAACCCCAGCAUACUUGCAGGACUUAACAUAAACAACUCCUUGAACUGCGACAAAGCUUCUAGGAAAGGGGUGAACCGGAACAACCGGAGGUUUAACAGGAGGGUGAACCGGAACAACCGGAGGUUUAACAGGAGGGUGAGCCGGAACAGGAGGUUUAACUGGAGGGUGAACCGGAACAGGAGGUUUAACUGGAGGGUGAACCGGAACAGGAGGUUUAACUGGAGGAUGAACCGGAACAGGAGGUGGAUUAACAGGAGCAGGAGGGUGAUGGUGAUGGUGGUGAGUAGGAGGCUUAGCAGGGGCAGGGGUAGGAGGGUAAUUGUGGUGAGAAGGUGAAGGAACAGGUGCUGGUGCUGGUGCUGGUGCUGGAGGGUGGUGGUGGUGGUGGUGGUGGUGUGGGUGAGGAGCAUUUGCUGGUGGGUGAAGAGGUGCUGGUGUGGGGGAGUGAACAGGGUGAGGGUGAGGGUAAGAGGGUGGAAGAGUUUCAAGUUCAAGCUCUACAGCAAACACAUUACUCACAGCUACGAGGAGAAACAGCAGCACUGAUGCCAAGGCUUUGGCCAUUGCUUCAAGCAAGUGAAGCAGAGAGAGAGAGAGAGAGAGAGAGAGAGAGAGGAGAGGAGAGUUGUGUUGGUAUCAUAUGAGUAUGGCAGUGGUUGAUUUAUAGGGGCUGAUGCCGGGAUUCUCUGCGGUUUUUGUUCAUAUCUAUACAAAAAAUUAAGGAUGUAUUCGUUUGUAGAAAAAUAUAAUUAAAAAUAAAUUAUUAUAUUUUAUUUUAAUUCAAAAUUUUCAUGUUAUAUCUUAAUUUUUUUUUACUAUACCAAAUAAAUCAUAAUUGUGAAGAAAAAAAAAAGUUUUUGCUUAUUAGAGUAACUAGUGCUAGCUAGCUUAGGUUUGCGUGAUGAUGGCAUCAGAGUGGAAAACUAGGGAAAUGGUAAUGUGAGGAAGGUAAAUUUGAAAAUCAGAGAUCCCAGGCUGAAUUAAAUGGAUCUAUGAGUCUGUGAUAUAUUACUGCUAGCCCUACGCUGAUGUUAACAUAUUAGUAGUAUUUGGGUAGUAUAGUACUCGUGAGACACAUUAUUAAUUAUUAAGUGUGUAUAUGAUUUUAUAUGGAAGAAUUGAUUUUAAGUUUAGAAUUAAUUUUAAGUUAAAAUAAUUUUAAGUAAUUUUUGUGUUAGAUAAAAAAGUUAUAUUAAAUUUUAUUUCUUAAAUAUAAAUUAUAUCAUUUUAAAAUUAAUUUUAUUCAAACUUAUUUUUUUGACGUUAAUCCAAAACUGCACAAAAUACAAAUUUUUUAAAAAAUAGGUUUAAUUAUAAUUUACUAUCUUUUUUAUGUUUUUUUUUUAAAUUUUGUCACCAAAAUAUUACGAAAUCUGUGCAUUCUGUCUCUACCUCCUAUAUUAAAUCUAAGCAUUUUUGUUUUAAAAUUGGAUGAUAAAAUAUACAAAAUUGUAAAAGUUAAGUAACAAAAUGUGUCUGAAGAAAAAAUGAAUCACAAAAUGAGCGAUCCAGAUUUUGAAAGAGUUGUGACAAUAUGUGCAAAAUCUAUAGUUUGAUAGCAAAUUUGGCAAAAGCAAUUAAGGAAAAAAAAGUACAUGAAUUUUAGUAAAUUUUGAACGGUAAAUAAAAUAUUUUAUAAAAAAUUGUCCAAAAAUAUAUUGAUAGGCUUUUUUUUUGAAACUUUGGUAGUUGGUUUUUGACACUUGUGUAAAAUUUGACUACCUAUAAUCAUAAAACUUUUUUAUUUAACCAUUUUAUAAGUGUUAUGUUUCUAUAAAAAAAAAAAAAGACAUGACAAAUUAUUAACAAAUUUGAUUCUUUAAAAGAAACAACUCGCACUUUUUAGUAUGGAAUUGUGUUAAUACAAUUAUAAUUAAGAAUACGCAAAUGGCAGAAUGAAUGCACAUGCAUAGGUGCUUGUUAUUGCACUUCUUACAAGGCUUAUGUAGAAGUUUCCAAGGACUUCGGUAAUAGCUUUGCGUUUUUUUAUUACUGGCUUUGAGUUUCUGAUAUGGCAUUUAUUAGGGAAGAAAACAGAAAUGACUUGAACAAAAAGAAAACCCACGAAAAGGUCAAAUUUUAUGAACACGAAAGAGGCGACAUGGAAUGAUGGAUAGAGAAGGCCAGAAGGGUUAGUAGCACUUUAAUGUGUUUUAUAUUGGUAAAAUCAACCCAUUUUUUUUGUUGAUAAAGUUAGAAAUCGAAAUAACCGAACACUUACAAAUUAACUGAUUUAAUUAAAAAUAUUUUAUAAAAUUAAUUAAUAAAUAUCAAAUGACAUAAAAAUAUAUAUUUAAUAAUUUUAAUAUUUGAAUUUAUUUGUAAUAACUUUUUAAUAUCAUCUCAAAAGGUAUGACUAUAAUUUUGUAUUACAAAAGAUAGAAUAGUAAAAAUUUGUGAUAAAAAAGAAGAAAGUAACAAAUGCUAUAAGUGAAUUAGUGGUUUUUUUAUUGGAAUUCAAAUAUAGAAAUGAAAAUAUAUUAAAAAUAAUGUAAUAAUUUUAACUAGAAAUAAAAAUAUGGUAGCCUAAUUUAUCUUUUACCUUCAUAUGUUCAAAUGUUAAAAUGAAAUAAUUUGUGUUAGAAUAAUUCUAUUUUAAAAAUAAAUUAGUAAUAAAACUUAAUGUAAUGUUUUAUCUAAUACAAAUUUAUUUGUUUAACCUCAAAACCAAUUUUAAAUUCAACGUAAAAUCAAAUAUCUAAACAUAUAUAACUAGAAUUACUUUUGUUACCAUUUUAACAUCAUGCACUAAAUGGAAUUGUACAAAAACAAAAUCCAGGUUAUGCAAUUGUCAUUAAUGAUAGUUAAACCUUUUGUGCAGACUCCAAUAUAUAAAUUAAACUUUGUUCAUUCUAAACAAAAUAUUAUUUAACAACUUCAAUAAAAAUUGAAUUUAUAUAAAUAUCAUCCUUACUUUUCUUCGUUUGCACCUCAUUUUCCCGUAAAUUUUGAUGGAAAAGGACAUUAAUAUAAGGACAAAAAUUGUUCGGCCACGAACGGUCUAAAAUAAAGCCGUUUGAACGUAUAUACAGUAUUAUCCUGUCCACCUUACAAGAAACACAAUUAGAACACAAAUUAGUUUUUAUUGUUAACUUUUUUAGAUAAACGUUCUUAUUGUUAUUUUAUUUCUUCGAGUUUCGUAAAAGAAACAUCUAAAUAGAUAUAUUUUUUGUUUUUUUACUGAAUAAAUGUAUUAUUUAUUAAGAAGAUUUAGUUGGAUUGAUUCAUCAGCGCGUGUAAUAUAGUUAUAAUGGUUAAUUAUUUUUCUUUUUAAAAAAAUCAACAGGAUAAAAAGGAAAAUAAGUAUAUACUAGCAUUGAAAAGAACAGAAGAACCAAAAUAUUAUUUUCGAUAAUGUAACAAAAAGGAUAGUGAUACGCUCCUAUUGAUUAAGUUUCUGUAUGCAAAAUCAUUGAGCCAUGCUGCAGACAUGUUCUAUCUUUCUGGGUUAGUGAUGGGCACAUCUUGUGUGCUCCCCCAUUAAUAAUAUAUUUUCUUUGCUUCUUAAAAAAUGCUACUUUUAUUUAACAAUUUAUCUUUUUUACAAAUUAAUACAUACUACAAUCUAGUCUAUUAUAUUGCGUAGUUUAGGGUUUUUUUUUUAAUUUGUUUACACAACUUAACAUUAUUUUAUAGUUUUGAACUUUCAUUGUUUAUUGUUCUUAUUAUGGGUAAAAAAACAAAAAACUUAAACAUUUAUUAAUGGAGAGGUAGAGGUAAUGAUUAUUCUUUGUCAGAUUUUGUUAAUCAUUGUCCUAAGGAAAAAGGAAAUAAAAAAAAAUUAAUGUAUAAAUUAUAAAAUAGUGUAAAAAAAAUCAUGAAAAAUAUGGUGUCAGCCUUCUUAAUUUCUUAACUAAUAUCUUUGAGACAUUUAUUAGCAUUUGUUUUAGUUAUAUAUUUAGUAAACAUUUAUUAAAUUUAUUGGAGGGAACUCCAAAAUAAUGCACAUUAAUUUACUAAAUGUAUUAAGACAUGGAUCCCGUCCGUGAAUCCUGGUGCUUAGUUUGUUGUCAUUUGCCACUACAUUUUAUGCUCAAUUUGUUUAUAAGCUUGCCAUGCCCAUCUGAUAACAACUCAUUUCCACUUUUUGGAGUUACAUACAAGAUUGCCGUCAUUUAAUUUUUGAAAAUUUUAUUGAUUAAGUAAGGUUUAUCAUCAAUUUGAUGGAACAUAUAUAUACUAACAUUUCCAUCUAAAUUCUACAAUUAUUAUUAUUAUUAUUAUUAUUAGUAGGAUAAAUUGUAAUUUUUUUCUCCUUUAUAUUUCCAUCUAAAUUCUACCUAUGUUUAUUUAUUUUAUUUUAUUAUAUUUUAAUUAAUUAAAUUAUUUUUAUGGUACCUUAAAUAAAUAUGUUAGGUCUAAAAUUUAAUUGGAUCAAAAUAAAAGAAAUAAAACAUAUACAAAAUUGAGAAAUGAACCUAAAUUAUAAAUUUUGUAAAAAAGUGGACUAAAAUCACAUAAAAAAUUAAACAAACUAAAAUUGUAACUUAUUAUUAUUAUUUUAUUAUUAUUAUUAUUUGAAAAUCAAACAAUUCUCAAAGUCAAAAACAUAAUUCGCGUGUUUUUUUAAAAAAAAAUUAAGAAUAAAAUUCAUUGAUAUAAAAGUAUAACAACCUUGAUUACCUUUAACCAAAUAUAUAGAAACUAUACACAUAUUUCCAAUAAGUAAACUAACAUCCAAACACAAACUUCACUAACCACAACCAAACCACAGAAUUACAAUUUACACCACUCUGAUGUUUUUUUUUCUCGGUUAUUUAGUUUAUGCUUUUAUUUAUUCUUUAUAUAUGUCCCAUUAUAAUGUAAGAAGAAAAAAUAAGUAUUAAAGUAAGCCUUGUUUUAGUUUUUUUAAUAUAAUAAUAACCACUUUUUCCUACUAAUACUCGUAAUAAGUAGUAUUAUUUUAACUUUUCAAUGUAAUAUUAGUCUAAAUUAGUCACGUACAAAACUUUUCAAGCUCAUUAACAGCACCCCGGAUACACAAGGCUAAAAUUGAUUAUCAUGUUGCAACUUUGAUCAUCAGAAUCUGAACAGAUUGAACUUCCAAAAUUGCUCUAAGAGUCUCAUUUCUUGUUGAAGAAGCUAGAUAGUUGACUACAAAAAUGUAAUCAAACCACUAAAUUAAUGAAGGCAAACAUAAUAAAAAAGAAAUUCAUGUCACAAAGUUUUAGGCUAAAACCUUCACAUGGAACAAUCAAUGCUAUCUUCUAGAUCUGUUUUUGAAACUUCUCAAGCAAACAUAUUAAACUUAGUUGGAACUCAUCAAAUACCACAAGCUGGAUAAAUUCAGCUUCAUCCCUACCCAUUGCAAACUAGAGAGUUAAAAAUUUUGACUAACCCAAAUUGUUUGUAUGGGCUUCCUGGGCUGAUUGUUUUGUUGGGCCUACAGUUUGCAAUUUUGCACCCUGUAUUAGUUUGUUGGUGUUGAAAUUUAGGAUGGAGAUGAAAAAAUUAACUAGUUGGAUAUAAUUUUAAGGACUGAUAAAAUUAGAAUACUGAUAUAAUUUUAUUGUUGUAAAAUAUAGAUUUUGUGGCUAAUAUCAGAGCCUUAGAGCUGUACUUCCACACUUUACAAAUGAUAUACCAAUUUUUCUUUAUAAACCUUUUCACCUUUUUAUUUUUCAGAUGUUUCACAAUAUAUAGUUUUUUUCACCUUUUUCUUUAAGAAUAAUUGAAUUUUUUAUUUUUUUUUUGCAAAUAACAGUAAUGAAACAAUAGUUUUAAGAAGGAUAUAUAAAACUGAUCAACAAUCUUACAAGUCUUAUCAAUUAUCUGGUGGGCGACAAAGGAAAACCAAAAAAAGAAAAAACAAGGAACAAAAUCAGUUCUUUAGAAAACACACCCCUGGUGCUUUGGUGCAUCCGCAUGUAACCAAGUGUCAUUAAUCUUUUCUUAUAAAUUGAAAAGCUUAAAUACAUGUCACCUACGUAUAAAUUGGUUGGAACUAUGGACACUUGGUAGUCUGGAUUACUUAAUACUAUUUUUUUGCAAACAAAAGAGAUAGCAAUUAAUCCAAUGUGAAGGGAAGGGGAAUCCAAGAACAUGAAGCUCUGCCCAGAAGUUUAAGAACCCAUGUUUUUUGCCGAGAUAUCCGCAUAUUGAUUUCCUUCUCUAUGGAUAUGCUGGAUACAAACUAUAUUCCCGAUUAUAAGUUGUAACAUGUCUCUGCAGAUUGAUAAAUAAUGGCAGCAAACAUGUUAAAAGGUUGAAAAUUGCGUACCAUUACAAGGUCAUUCGGUUAAUGCAUGGUUUUAUAGAAUUUUAUAUAACUUUGUUAUUAUAAACAAAAUAUGUAUCUUACUAGGUACGUACUGUUUCUUUUGAUUAAGAGGACUAUCAACAACAUAAGCUAGCAUAUUAGUGGUGAGGGCUCUCAGGCUGCCACGUACGUAGUAGGUCUUUGCGACCACAAGGGCAAGGCUAAAGGUGGAUGUGUGAAAAGAGGUUGUUGGGGGCAAGAUCUGAGGUUGGUGGCAUUAAGAAUUAAUUAAGAUGGUGUAACGUCCCUCACUCUGGAAUCUUAAGCUCUUUUUUCUUACGAGUUUGCAACCCAAAAGGUCGUUCUUCAAUUCUUCUACAUGAGUACGUAGGACAUUAGAGUUGAGCAACAUUAUGUAUACUUCGAAGGUCGUGUGUAUUUUACACCAAAAACAAUUUUACUUGAUGAACAGUAUAAAAUUACUAUGAUAAAACUUUUGUUUUAAAUGAUUUAUUUGAUAAUUGAAUUAAAUAAUUUAAUUUAAUUAAAUAAAUAUUUUAAUGAAAUAUUAUUAUAUUCUUCACUGAAAAUAAGGAUAUAAUUAAUAUAAAUAAAAAGUAUUAUUUUAUAAAUAUGAAAAUUGUUCAUGAAAUAAGAAUAAUUAAGAUUCCACUGUGACAUGCCAAGAUCAUAUUAUGUGCUUAGUUGUAAAAAAAAAGUGAGAUAGUUUUUAUUUUCAUAUAUAAAAAUAAAGGAAUAUGAAAUUAUUUUAAAUAAAAUCUCUUUUUUUAAAAUGUCUAAAUUUGUAUAUCUUUAACUUUAUACAUAAACAUAUAUGUAAGAACAAAAUGUACCACACAAACUACAAAAAUUCAAGCUAAAUUUUUAGAUCUGAAAAGUUAAAAAAAAUAGUUUAUUCUUUAGAAUUUGACUCAAAGUGUUUAAUACGUAGAGUCUAUGUAUUAUUAUUAAGAAAAAAUUUGUAUAUCUAUUUAUCGAGUGUAUAAAUUUAUUUAUUUAUUAUUAUUGUAUAUUUUGAAGGUAAAAUAAAUCUUAUUUUUUUUUAUUAUAAGUGUUGAAAAUACUUCUAUCUAAACAACCGAUAUAAAUAUCUUGGGUUUCCUCUUUCCUUGGUGCCAAUUUAAUGUAUUGAUAUAAUUAAAUAAAAAUCACAGGCCUAAUGAAAAAUCAUUAUAAUAACUAAUGAACACAUGCAAGGGAAAAAUAUACAUAAUUAGGAUCGAGCUAUACAAUAUACGGAUCAAAAUUAAUAUCGACACACACAUUCACUAAAAUGAUAAAAAAAAUACCUAAAUGAAUCGAAAGCUGCAGUUAUAUAUCAUAAACCUAAACGUUGUUCAUUUUCAUCAUAUAUAGAGAGAGCGUGACGUAAAAGAGAUAUGAUCACUUACAUCAUUUACUGACUUUUAAUCAGAUACUUUUACUCUAAAAUAGAUAUAUAACCAUAUAUACUUGAAUUGAUAAAAUAGUAGAAUUUAUGCAGUUUCUUAACAGAUCUGCAUUUUCCAAAAUGCAAAUUUGGCAUGGAAAAACCCUCUAAUUUGUUUAGGAAACAGAAAGAGACCUGGAACAAAAAUAUCGAUUCAUGAAUUAAUUUGCAUGCAUCUUCUCUGGAUUAACAAUUAUUGUCAACUACCAGUCCUUCGUUAUUCUGUUAAUUCUUUCUUUCCCAAAAGAGACUUAGAUAUCAAUAUCAUCCAUUAUAUAGAUAUAUCGUAUAUGAAAUCGGAACACAUGUUUAAUAUCCAAACUAUAGUAACAAACUAAACAACCUUUUCAUCAGAUUUCACAAGUUCUAUAUAUAAACAUACAAGUGCGUGCUCACACCCACGUAAAUCGAUCAAAUCUUAAUUGUGAAGCCAACGCAAGACAGUGAAUAUGAAAUUGCUUACUAGAUAAAACGGUGGUAUAGUAUCCUCUUGAGAAUAUUCAAUUUAGAUUUCCACCAACAAUUAAUGCUAUCAGCCAUUGAAAUACUUCUUUAAUUUCUCAGAUAUCCUCAAAGCUCCAUUUGCAGAUUCCCCUACCUGAAAAAUGCAAAAACAAUAAAGUUACAUAAAAUUCAUAGGGCAGAGGGCAGAAAGGGGAAUUUAUGUUUCACCUGAUGACAGUGUAUUGUAUGAAAAACUUCAUUUUCAACAACGGUAUAACUGGCAUUAACAACAUCUGAUCCUUCUUCUUGAAGAACACGAACGGUCUCAUUGAACAUGAAUUGACAAUCCAACCCAGUUAUUAGAAAAACCUCUAAAGUUGAACCCAUUUGUUGGAUUUUAAAUUGUGGAGACUUCAACAAUCCCAUAUUCAUGCUAACAUUUUUUGAUCUUUUAAUGUCUAUUAGGUUGUUCUUUUUCUCCUUCAUUUUCUCUAAUUUAAUCUGUAAAUUCUUUAUGUAAUUUGUGGCUUCACCUAUCUGAUCCGGCCGCGAAAUGGCCUCCUACAAAAAGAUUCAAAUAAAAUUGAGACGUUUGUGUGCAUAUAAUAAUAUAAGAGCAGUUGGUUAAGUAAUUAUAAGAGAAAGAGAGUAAUAAUACCCUUGAGCUUUGAUGAGGCACAACUGAGUUGAGCUUGAAGAAAAGAUCCUUCAAAUGAUUUCUUCUAUUCUGUUCAAUGAAUUUUCUAUCAGUUCUUGAUGAUGAACUAGGGUUGUUCUCCAUUAAUUAAUAUCCCUUAUGAAUGCAAUAGCUCAUCCGCUAGAGAACUCUGAAUACUCAUCAUUGAUUUCAUUAAAAUAUAAUACUUUUCAGACAAGGGUUGCAAGGUAAUUGGAGUUUCUCGUGGCUUUUAGAAAAGCUAGUUAGUAUCAUUGGAUGCUACUGAUAAAGGUUCAUGUGAUAUAGAUGUGGUGGGGCACCAUUUUGUCGGAUAUAUAUACAUUUUUUUUCCUUUUUUGGUUCCUAUGAUGAACACUAAAUAUAAAUGCCCUAUCAAAAUCCACCAAUGUGGGCUUACUAAUUUUGGACCUCCACCAAUGUUAAAGAAAUAUAUACACAUAUAACAGCAAUUUAAGGAUUAAAAUAUUUCUUAUAUUCUAUUAAUAUAUUAUAUAUUCGAUUUUUUUAUUGAUGAUAUAAAACAACAAUGUAGGAAUUUCAGCUGUAACAGUUUUUAGGUGUAAUAGAUAAUUGAAACUGGCAUUUUACGUACUGCUCUGAAGUAGUUAAUGACUUUUUCACUUAUUAUUAUAUCAGAGAUUAUAAUUUUAAAUAAUUACUAUAUAUCUAAUAUUUUAUUGAUACAUACAUAAAAAUGAUAUUGUUGUACCUACAAAAGAAUAAUUAGGUAAUCUUUCUUCUUGCUAACUCUUUGUCUAAGGUCUUAUGCUUCUAGUGAUUGAUGCUUGACUGUAAAAGGAAGGAAACUCAAGUCGGAUUUCAAAUAAGAAUAAUAAACAAGCAUAUUUAAUAUGUUAUGAAUAGUCUUUCCUUGAUAUUCUCACAUGUAGUUAUACAUAUUUUAAUGGGUACUUGAACCUAUGGGCAUGAAUACUUAUGUGUUUUAUAGAUACUUUCCUGAUUCAUAAUCAGGUACUCUGUUAGACUGAGUACUUGGAUACUCUUUAGGAAUAACUUGUUUUCUGUGUGUUAAGGUUGAAAGAUAUUUACGACUAUUCGGUAUGAUACAAUUGUGAUGUACAAUACACCAGAAACAUAUAUAAUAUAAAAAAAACUAUCCUCUAUUAAUGCACAAAAAAAUCAAAACUUUAAGAUUAAUUUACAUCCGCUAAUAUAACGCAAAUUAUCAGUAUAAAUAUUAUACAUGGGUUUGUAUUUUAUCAUUUUUUUGAUAACGAGUGGUUGAUUAUUAUGAGAAAUAAAAAAAUAAUUACACUAUUACAUUUAAUUAACUCUUCAAAUAAUGUAAUUAAUAGAUUAACCAAUAAAAGGUGGUAUAUAUAUAUAUAUAUAUAUAUAUAUAUAUAUAUAUAUAUAUAUAUAUAUAUAUAUAUAUAUAUAUAUAUAUAUAUAUAUAAAAUAAAUAAGAUGUUGCUUUGCAUAUAUAGCUAGCUAGGUUGUAGUGAGAACUAGGAAACAUUAAGUAUGAAAGUAAUAAGACAAAUGCUAAUCACUUGAUUAAAUUAAUUCAUUAUGGUAGUGAAAGUAAUUAAAAUUUUGCGAAUUUCACAUAUACUUUAUUUUAUUUUUCACGACAAUCAAAUCAUUUAAUUUUUUUUUUAAAAAAAGUAUAAUUUUCCUCCUCAUUUUAAUUUUUUCAACCCGAAGACAGCAUAACAAAAAUUUUAAUUUCGUACCCGAGGCACAUAUACCCCAUGUAAGAGGACGAUCACCCCAUUGCUAAGGAUAGAGUUGAUCAGCAUUACUCUGAGACCAUGGGAGAUGGAGUAGUGAUCAACUUUUUUUUCCCUUUUAGUUGGUGGUUAGGGGAGAGUGAUGGGAGGUAUCCUAGGGGAGCCAGAAGUAAAGCCUUGUUUUAGAGUCUAGGGUUUAAAUCCAAAAAUAAAGAAAAAAAAUUAUUAUCUCAUAAGUUAAAACUAGUUUAUACAUUUCUUCAUAAGUAUUUAUAGAGAGAGAAAAAUAGAAAACUAAAAUAAAUUUAUUUCAUAAGUUAAAAUUAGUUUAUACAUAAGUUAAUUUUAACUUAUAAGAAAAACUUAUCUUUUUUCUUAUUAUUCUUUGUAAAGUUUUUAGGGAUAAUAAUCUUAUUUAAAUAGGAUCUUAAUACGAACGAAUUUAACUCACUUGAUUAGUAUUAAUUCUUGUUAUUUCCAAUUUGGAACAAUUAAAUAGUACUGGCAUUAAAGAAAGAAAAUCUGCAGAGUUUGGAUUUCACGAUUAAAGAUUGAAAUGGACGUAUAUCAGGAUAUGUCGAUGUGUAUUCUGCUUUGUACCUGCAAAUUAUUUCAAAUCGUCGCCUUUUACACUUUAAGGAGAGUACUUUUCAAACCUUUGAAUGUAUCUGAAAAUUCACUAACGCGUGAUCUUUUUCUCUAGCUGGAUUUGAAUCUGUUCUAUUUUGGUCUUACAACUUAGCUAUAAUUUUAAGUUUGGGCUGGAUUGCUCCAACUAUAUGUGCAGUAAUCAAAUAUUAUAUCUCGUUUUCAUAAUUUGGGAAAUGGUGGCACUUUCUAAUCCCCUGGAUUACAAGCAACAUAAAACAUCCGCUACAACAUAAUUACUUAACAAGUAUUUUGCUGUUAAAAGAAUCUACUUCAUUUGAUUAAGCAAGAGUAUAUGUGUGAAUUAUUGUCAGUUAAACUAGAGUGUAUGUAUGAGUUAUUGUAAAUUCUAUAAUAUUAUUUUUUAUUUCAACAGAUUAAAAAAUAACUGUAUUUUACUCGGUUUUCAAGCAAAAGAAAACCUAGUGAUGCUGAUUGUUGAAUUUUGCACCAAAUUGAAACUGUGACAAUUUCGCUACUAAGUACUUUAUCAUUCAGGAAUUAAUGUUAGCGGAAACCACCUCUAUGCUCCCCUUUUUACGGGUAACAGUUUUCAAACAAUUAAUAAUAUGUGGCAGUGGUUGAUGCUUGCCUUAUGUCAUGCUUCGACCAAGAGCACUUAUUUUUAGAAUUUUUUAGAGUCAUCCCACACUUUUAAUUGUCAAAAUUAGAGAAUUAAAUUAGAAUUAUGCAUUUUGGAUUUGGCACUUUAAUGUUAAACAUAGAAUCUUUUGGGUUUUUUUGUGUGAUCACCUUCGUUCUUAUGUGAGCCUUUAGCUUCUUAGUUAUUAAUAAUUUGAUCCAUGCUUUAUAGUCAUCCCCACGCUUUAAUGUUUUAUAUAUACAUAGAUAGAUAGACAUAUUUGGGUGUGCGUAGGUUAUAUAUAUAUAUAUAGGGAACUUUGUCAUAGCUAAGUUGGGAUACGCCUAGACAUGGGUAUUAAGUACGUGAGUUCUUAAUUAGGUACGUACCAUGUUCUUUUUUAUGAUUUGGAGAGAUUUUAAUUUGUAUGAAUUGAAAGUUGAUAUACUCGACAGGUGUUCUCUGACUCGUAUAUAAUCAUAAGUUAAUUUUAACUUGUAAAAAAAAUAAUUUCAUUUUUUUAUCAUUUAUUUAUUUAUUUUAGAAGUACUUUUUUAAAAAAAUUAUCCACACAUAUCCUAAAUAGGUAUUACAUGGGUAUAAGUACGUAGUCAUCAAAUCAUUAUAAUUAAUAUACACAACAUACCCCAAAAUAGCUUCACACAUCCAAGUUCUCUGUGUAAAGUAAUCGUACGGCAAGCUAUCAUUAGUGUAAAAAUCACGUUUCAGCUUUUGACGCCAAAGAAACAAAAUGUCAUUGUAGUCUCAACUCAACACGCUAUGCUGUAACCUUUGUGCCUUGUGGGGUUUUAGUCUCCAAAAACUAACACAAAGAAUUGGCUCCUUCAUUUUGUCGUAUCUAAAGAUUUUGCAUGCACAAUAAUUGUCAAGUGCACCCUAUAAUAAUUACCCAUGUUCAUGGCAACUAAAACUAAAAGGAAUGGUGUCCUUAUAAAGUGGUUUUAGGUCUUGGUACUUAAGCCACAAACUGGAAAAAGAAACCAUUGGAAAACGACUAUUCCAGAACUCGAAUUGAAUUUGUUAUGUUGAAUUCAGACACAUAUCUCAGUGAUCUACAGUAUUUAUUGCAGGACAGUGAAACACUGUUAGUAAGCAUUGGCUUUCAUCUUUUAUCAUUUGUGAUGGGUUCUAUUGGGUGGAUAGGGAGAAUUGAACAUUGGAAACCUCAUGCAAAGUAAUAAUGGAAGUAUAUCUUUGGGGAGUUUCAUUCCUUUCAUAUGUGAGGUGCCUCUAUGCAUAUAGGUGGUUCACUUUAAUGAGAUAAAAAUGUCUUAUACUGGUCCAAAGAAUUAUUGUAUAUGGUACAUUUUCUUUUCUUUUACGGGAGACCUUUUUGUUAAGAUGUGACUGUUGGAACUGUCUAACAAAUUAUAAUAGAUAAGAUUUUUAUGUUAAUUCAACCCCUCUUUUUGUUAAGUUCAUAAUUAAUUUAACCCUCCUUUCUUAAUUAUUCUGAGGUCACUUGAUCCAACAAUCAAAGAUGCAAAGGGCAAAGACGUAUUCAGGGUGAAAAUGAAGGCUAAAAGCUAUGCUCUAAAUCUGAUGGAGGAGAAACAAAUAGCUUUUUCAAGCAUGACCACCAAUGUUGAACUAUGGCACAAAAGACUCGGACACUUCCAUCUUGUUGGACUUUUAUACAUGCAAAAACAUGCCUUGGUGAAAGGUAUGUCAAUGCUUGAAGACAAGUUAGCCGAUUGCGCAGCUUUCCAAUAUGGUAAGCUAGUCAGAAAACCAUUUCCUCAAUCAGCUAGGAGAGCAACUCAAAAGCUGCAAUUGGUUCACACAAAUGUUGGGGGACCUCAGAGAGUAUCAUCUUUAAAUGGUAAUAAAUACUAUAUUAGAUUUAUUGAUGAUUAUACUAUAUUUUGUUAGAUUUAUUUCUUUAAAUCCAAGACUAAGGUUGCUAAUAUUUUCUGGAAAUUUAAAGCAUUGGUGGAGAAUCAAAGUGGUUGUAGGUUGCAAACAAUAAGGUCUGACAACGGGAAGGAAUACAAAUAUGAUGUUUUUGAUAAAUUUUGUGAAGAAGCUGACAUUGAGCACCAACUCAUCGUACCUUACACCCCACAACAAAAAAGGUGUGAGUGAGAGAAAAAACAUAAGUAUCAUGGAGAUGACAAGGUGUAUGCUGCAUGAAAAGGAGUUGCUAAAGGAGCUAUGGGCAGAGGCUACAAACACUAUAGUAUUUUUGCUGAAUAGACUACCUACAAGAGUUUUGCACAAAAAAACUCCAUUUGAAGGCUGGUUUGGUUACAAACCAGAUUUACAAAAUCUAAAAAUCUUUGGUUGUGUUUGUUUCUCUUAUGUUCCACUAGUUAAAAAGGACAAACUUGAUAAGAAGGCAGAGCCCGGUGUUUUCAUUGGAUACCGCAACACCUCCAAAGCUUACAGAAUUUUCCAACCCCAAAAUGGGAAAAUUCUUGUGAGUAGAGAUGUCAAAUUUAUGGAAGAUCAACAAUGGAGUUGGGAUGAGCCAAUAAGGAAGCAGCUGCCAGAAAUCCCACAGUUCCUUGAUGAUGAUGAUGUAGAUGACAUUCCUGUUAAAGGUACAAGAUCUUUAUCUGAGAUUUAUCAAAAGAGCAAUGUAGUUGUCCUAGAACCUGCAGAAUUUGAAAAAGCUAAAAAGGAUGACAAGUGGAUAAAUGCUAUGAAGGAAGAGUUGAAAAUGAUCGAAAAAAAUGACACGUAGAAGCUAGUGAACAGACCUCAACACAAACAACCUAUAGAGGUAAAAUGGGUUUAUAGAACCAAACUUAAUCCAGAUGGUUCUAUAAAUAAAUACAAGGCCAGGUUGGUGGUAAAAGGCUAUGCUCAGGUGUUUGGAGUGGAUUUUUCAUAAACCUUUGCUCCAGUUGCACGUCUUGAUACAAUUAGAAUGCUACUUGCCUUGAUUGCACAUAAAAGGUGGAAAGUUUAUCAUUUAGAUGUAAAAUCUGUCUCUCUAAAUGGUUACUUGCAGGAGGAGAUUUUUGUAGAGCAACCUGAGGGGUUUCAAAUCAAAGGAGAAGAGCAGAAAGUUUACAAGUUGAAAAAGGCAUUAUAUGGUCUUAAACAGGCUCCUAGGGCCUGGUACAGCAAGAUAGAUGAUCAUUUUCAGGAUCUUGGAUUUGUCAAAAGUCCAAGUGAGGCUGCAUUAUAUGUGAAAUUGGUAGAUGCAAAUUCAAUCAUUAUUGUUGUCUAUGUUGAUGAUUUACUUGUGACAAGAAGUGAUGAGAAACUCAUAAAGGAGUUUAAAGUUGAAAUGCUUAAAGCAUUUGAAAUGAAAAAUCUUGGCUUGAUGAGUUUCUUUUUGGGAAUAGAGGUGAAACAAGAUCAUGGUGGGAUCCUCAUUCACCAAAAGAAGUAUGCAAGGGAAAUACUCAAGAAGUCUCUUAUGGAGGACUGCAAAAGCACUACAUCUCCAAUGAACCAAAAGGAGAAAUUUAGCAAGGAUGAUGGAGCUGAUAAAGUUGACGAAAUGCAUAACAGAAGCUUAAUUGGUUGCUUAAUGUAUCUUACUGUAACCAGACCUGACAUUUUGUUUGCAGUAAGUAUACUUUCAAGGUUCAUGCAUUGUGCUAGUGAAGUUCAUCUUCAAGCUGGCAAACGAGUUGUUAGAUAUGUUAAAGACACUUUAGACUAUGGUAUAAUGUACUUUCAUUCUCAUAAUUUUAAGCUUCAUGGAUAUUCUAAUAGUGACUGGGCAAGUUGUAUUGAUGACAUGAGAAGCACCUCUGGUUACUGUUUUUCCUUUGGUUUUGGAGUUUUUUCUUGGUGUUCUAAAAAGCAAGAAGUUGUAGCUCAAUCAACUGCAGAAGUAGAGUAUGUAGCUGUUGUUGCUGCAGUGAAUCAAGCUCUUUGGAUCAGGAAAAUUAUGACAUAUUUGCAUAUGAAACAAGAAGAAAGCACACAGAUUUUUGUGGACAACCAGGCUGCAAUCUCAAUUGCUAAUGAUCUGGUGUUUCAUGGCAAAACUAAGCAUUUCAAGAUAAAGCUUUUUCUUCUAAGAGAAAUUCAAAGGGAAGGAGAAGUGAAGUUACUGUACUGCAAAACAGAGAAUCAAAGUGCUGACAUUCUGACCAAGGCACUUCCAAAAGCCAAAUUUGAAUACUUGAGACAAAAGUUUGGAGUUUGCAAUUCCAAAGUCAAGGAGGAAUGUUAAGAUAUGACUGUUGGAACUGUCUAACAAACUAUAAUAGAUAAGAUUUUUAUGCUAUUUUUUAAGAAAAAUAAAAGUCAUAUUGACUAAUAGGAUAAAUCAAUUUUGAUCCUAUUCUUUAGGCAUGAUCUGUUAGUGAUGUUAUCUUUCUAUUAGUCGUUACUUUCUUUUAUAUGUUUUUAAAUACGUUGUUUCAUAUCGAAAUAAAAUAAGUCUUUACCGUCUCAAUUUCUUUCUUUACGUUUCCUUCCAUUCUUUAAUAUUUCUGGCUACUGUUGUUAACAAAAAAAUGACACUUUUUUUUACAUGUGGUAGAUCUAGCUCCAAGUUUUUCCACCCCAUGAAAUUCAUAUCCUAAAUUUUUUUUGUAAAUAGGGUAGUUCAAAAGGCAGAGAAACGACAUUGACAAAAAAUAUUUUGGAUUCAAUUUUUUUUUCUUUUAUGAAAGUCAUCCAUAAAUAUUUUUUAAAGUUCUUGGUAUGAUAUUAUUACGUACGUUAUGUUUUUAUUUGGUAAUUAAUAUGACAACAUCCUGUCCUUAGCCUUUCAAGCUCUUUAUAACUUUUGUUUCAUUCUUAUAGGUACAUUAUAGAUGUUGCUAUUAGUUAGACAAAUGGCAAUCUUUCAUUAAAUAAUUAAUUUAUACGCCAAUAUACUAAAACAAUUUGUUCCUUUAGUACAGCUUCAAACCUAUAUGGUUGAUCCCGGUUAUAAAUUUAUACCACAUAUAGAUUUAUAAGUGAAAAAAGUAAGUUUUUGUAUGGUUUCACAGGAAUAAUAUGAUUUUUGAUGGGCAAUCUCUGGAGCAAGACUGUGUUUUGGAAACUAUCAAACGCAAAUCCUGGUUGUGGUUGGAUUCUUAUGUCAAACAGUUCAAAUACUCCUUCUUCGAAUACUGGCAUUCGAAUGAACCCACUGCUAUGCCUCAAAUGGUUAUGAAGCGUGAGGAAAUUAAGGGAAGCAGGGACAUGGAUAUAAAAAGCUGCAUGUAGAGAUUUAUGAAAUUUGGUUAUGGGUAUUUAUCAUGGGAAAAGGGCUGUUAAAAAUUACCAAGUAUGAUACCUGGGUUUAUUUUGUAAUAUAUGGAUCUUGGGAUAUUCGCUGGUAAAAUAUUUGCCAGGGGAUAUUAUCCUUUAUAUGAUGCUCCUUGUUUUGUAAUUGGUAUCUUUGAUACCCUUAAUAAAAUGUUUGUUUGCAGAUAAAAAGAAAAACUAGAAUUCGUACAUUUAACUAUGAUGUAUAUACAAUAUCUUGCAAACGAAAUUCUAUAUAUUUUUAUUUAUUUUUUUGUUUUUAAUCAUUAUAAGGCUUGAUGUUCGUGAAUUGAAUGAUCAGUUUUAAAGAGAAAAAUUAUUAUGUUGAAUCACUUUGAUUUUCUUAGUUCAUCAUCCAACUAAUUUGAUUCAAAAUUUUAAUUUGAUUUAAUUUGGUUUCAUUUAAAAUGACUUGGAUUGACUCAGUUUUUUAUUUUAAUCCUAUUUUUUCUUUGAGAAAAUAUUAAAUAAAUGGUAAGAUUUAUAAAAUACAGUAAAAAAUAAUUUAAAAUGUCCAACAUUCCAUUUAUAUGUCACUAUAUAACUAAUGAUAGUACAACUUCUUAAAUAUAUAUUAUAUCAAAAAUAAAUUUAGACAAUUUGAUAAUUAUAUUUAUGCAUCAUAACUAAAAGAGUUAGUUUUAUAAAAAAAAAAUCUCAAAGAGUUAGUAAAAAAAUUAUCUUUUAUAUAUUAAAUAUGUUUUUCAUAAAUAAGUAUAAAUUAUAUGAUAAUUUAAUAAAUAUAUAAGAAAUAAAAAUAUCAACAUGAAUGAUAUGAAUUUAUAAUAAAAAUAUAUACAUGUAUAAGUUCAAUUUGAAUUGGAUUGAAUCCAUUUUUAAAAUUAAAUUUGAAAUCCAAUACAAUUCAAUAAAACAUUCCAAUUUUUCACUUUUUUUAUUCAUUUGGUUUCUGGCUGCUUGGACUAGAUUUUUCCCAUCGGAUUGAAUCAUUUUAUGAAUACCCCUAGCUUAAUUGCACUUUUGUUACCGUAAUUGUGUGAUUUAAAUCCUAUACUCCAAUUCUGGAUUGGAUCUUCAAAUCUUACAAUUGUAUAAUUUUAAUCCUCCCAUGAAUAUUUGGUAAAUAUUUAACAAAUAUUGCCAACACACAUUAGAUGAUAAAAUGUCAAUAUCAGUGUUGGCAUAUAUGUUGGCAUGUAUGAUGAUAUUGCUUAAUUAUACUUUUUGUUUCUUAGAUAUUAUAAUUAUGAGUGAUCAUAAUUGAAUCGUGAUUAACAUAUGUGUCAGAUAAUUUGUCAGUUAUUAAUUUGUCAUCUCAUGUUAAGUGAUAACGUUGUUUUGAUAAUAAAAAUAUAUUGAAAAUAUCUUUAAAAAUAUUUAUUUAACAGUUAUUUUUGACUUAAAUGAUAAGAAUAUUUUUGUUAUUUAUGACUUGCAGAUGUGAAAAUAAUGGAUUAAAAGAGAAAAAGAUCGAGAAAAUAUAAAAAAUAUGGAUAAGGAAGAUUUUCAGCAUCAGUGGAUAAGGAAAAUUUUCCGCAUCAGGCCCAAGUUCACUACAACAACUAUAAAAAGAGAGUCAAGCCAAAGCGAUCUAUAAUGUACUCUUCAUUAUUUAUCAAUGAAAUACCACGUGUUUUCUAAUCCAUUAUCUUUUCUGCUUUUAUCUUAUUCAUCUUUGUAUUCUUUUAGGGGUUGUAUGCUUGGGAGAUGAUAACUUCUAAAUAAGAUUAUUUUAACAUCUAGACUUCAUACUUCAUGUAUUUUAUUUGUUGAGUAUUUUGCAAAGGAAGUUGGGAGAUAAAUAAAUAGAAUAGACUUGUCAUCAUGAGGAAUGGAAUUAGGGGCAAGAAUGUGGGUAAAAUAGAAUCACCUAAAUUGAUAAAGAAAAAUUAUAAACUCAUACAUCCUACGCAAACAAGGAAUGUUAGGUUCCAACAUUAUCUGAUUUUCUUUUAUUUUUAUCUUUUAUUUUUCUCAUCUUAUCUUAUUUUUUUAUCUUUAUCUUAAUCUUUUAUUGUUCUUAUCUUUUACUUUUAUUUUCUUAUUUUCUUUAUCUUUUAUUUUGGUCUUUAAAUCUUUGUCUUAUAUAUUUUUUUAUCUUUAUUUUAAAUUCUUUAUCUAUUACUUUUAAAUUGAAUUUGCAUUAAUCUAAGUACAAAUAAAGUCCGUCUGUAUUCGACACUCGAACUUCCAAAUAUUUUAUUACUUGUGACAAUUUGAUACAUUUGUCAACGAGUUGACAAAAUUGAUUUAUAAUUUAACAAAAGAUUGAAAAAAUGAUCAAAAUUACAUAAUUUUAAUGCCUAUACAACCUAAUUUUUCAAUGUAAAAAUAAAAUAAAAAAGUUUUUUCAGGACCAAAAGUCAAGAUAGGAUUUAUUUAAAACUAAAUACAAAAUCCAAAAAAAAAUGAGCAAAAUUAAAAACAUACACAAAUUGGUGCCACGUAUAUAAACAUUUCUUUUUCAUGAACCAAAAACAUGCAUGCAUUGAUGUCGCGUAUAUAAAUUUUGCGUUGAAUUACUGGUACCAACAACCACUAUUGUUUUAAGUUGCUUUAAUGAGAGAGAUUGUGUUAUUGUGGGUUAGAAUCCAUCAUUGAUAAAUAAUAUUUAUGGAUAAAAAAAUUAUUAUUUUGUGUUGCUUUAAUGAUAAUGUAGUAACUAUUAAAUUGAAGCCAGAGUAACAUAAUUAUUUUUGGGCGCCGGGUGACAUCUUCAUCCACCCUUUAACAGAUGAAUGAUGAUGAGAACCCAAGACUAUUCAGUCCUGUCUUGUUUAGAACAAGAAAAAGCCCAAUGACAUUAAAUCCACUUUAAAAAGAAGGUAUACAUCACGGGGCCCUACUGUAAGAACGUUUCAAUAAUUUAUAACGUGACAAUGCUUCCAAAUGCAAUACCACUAACCGAGGGCAUAGGUAAGCAAAAACAUUGCAUUUCGACAAAAACAAAAGAAUAGUCAAAUGUGACGCCAUGACAUUGACAUAGCUUAUUGUCAAAUUACAUCACCUACACUAAGUUUAAAUUUACAACUAUCAUGCUUAGUCAUGCUAUUAUAUACCUCUCCUAAUGAAACAAACCUAGGCUUUCUACACCUCAUAAUUAUAAUACUCAUUUUCUACAUGAAAGGCCUAAUCGAAGCCUUAACAUAGCCAAAACAACUUACCAAUAGAAUUUAGCAAGUCACAUGCAAUUUUUCAGAUUCAUUCAACAUACUUAGCUCGUGUAUGUAAAAGUGCUAAAAGGCAAUAACUUGAGAUGACAACACAGACAUCAAAACUGCUCUUACAACGUCAUUUAAGGGGAAAGUGUCGUGAAUGUGACUCAUUUACAGUCCUCAACAAACAGCUACUAAAUAAUGAAGUUUAUGAUAUUAAGCUUUCAAUGACAGAAUACCACGUGGUAUUGUAACCUAAACCAUAAAUUAGUGAUGAUUUUUUUUUCGUUCAUAUGUAAUGGAAGUGAAUGAUUUGUUUAGUUAAAGAAUUUGUAUUUGAUUAUUAUCGUGUUAAAUUAUUUUUUUUGGACAACUAACAUACAGUAAAAUUAAUCUUUGAUUCAAUAAAUCUAAAAAUAAAUAAAAAAAAAUAACAUAUUAUACAAGUAUUUAGUUGAAGCCAAAGUAGUCGAAUAUAUUACAUAAACCCCAAAAGCAACAGCUCAUAACACUAAGCUUUAGUGUCACAUGCAUGCCGAAACCUACCUGUGCAAGUGUGCAUUAAGUCACUGAAUACUGAGACAUUUAGAUGGGAAAAGGUAAUCAUCAAUAAAAAGUGUUGAUCCAUAUCAGCUACAUUAAUCUUGUUAAAUACUUUAAUACCCUCGUGUCUCAACAAAUAUCUUAUAUGACUAUUUAAUCCAAAAUUAACCCAAAACCAUAUCAGUUAAAUUUUAAGAGAAUUUUUUUGCUUUAAAUAAGUUAUAUAUUAGGCAUUUUUUGUCAAUGUGUAUGAUAAUUUUGUCAAAAUGUGACUUUUUUUACUUUAUAAAAAAUAUCUUUUUGUCUGUAGACUUAAAGUUUGAAUUUUAGUUGUCUUAUCCUCUUACUAGCACCUUACAUUUAUAUCAUUUAUAUUUUUCAUUUUUAUCAAUUCACAAUAAGUUGAAUAAUAAAUUAUAGUGCCAGGUGUUAACCAUCAAAUUUAAUAUCUUAGGUUGAUGACUUGAUUACCAUUCUGACAAGCCAGUGGUAGCCUUCUGAAGAUAUGCUUUAAAUUCAAUUUUAUAAGAGUAAAACAGAACUACAAAGAAAGCAAAAUAAGCAAUUAUGAAAUACACUCUCACCAGUUGAGUAUGCAAGGUUCAUUGCAUCAGUUAAGAAAAUAACACGAAAAAAAUAUAGAAUUAAAACUUUGACAUUAGAGAAACUAAAAAUAGAAGUACCUUGUAUAAUAACAAAUAAACAAGAAAUUGUGUCCCCACCCCUCUAAAAAAAGAAACUUAACCUAGUGCAAUUACUAAAUUGUAAACAGUAAAAACAAAAGCUGUUUUCACCUCAAUGUACAAGCCUACAAAUCAAUUUCCUCUUGCAUGAACAUCAUAAGGAGGACUACAGCUAGAGAACCUCAAAAAACAAACCUUUGGUUUUUCUUUUGGGUAAUUCAAACCAUUCAAUAUUAAUUACAAUGAACCCGGUAUACUACAAAAAGCCAGGCCACAUUGAAGACUCAUGUAAAUUUUGGUUUAGGCACAGGACCAUUAUUAUGAUGCACAGGACCAAGCUUUUGAAUCCAAUGGAGAAGCCCUUUCUUGUGAUCUUGGCAACAAGGAUUUUCCACCAGAGUCAGAGUUCCAUCAUGAGCAAGCGAAGAUUCAAAUUGUUCUAAUACCUUAACAACCUGCCAGAACUCGGGCCUCUUGUCCGGAUGCAAAGACCAACAUUGCUCGAUUAAAGCUCGCAUUGCAGGUGGACAGUCUGAAGGAAUAACUGGCCUUGCAUUCUGAAUACAGCAUCACAAAAGUAUUAGAAUUGCAUAGGUAAACAGUGUCAUUUAGCUAGCAAAAUAUUUUCCACAAUUAUCCAAUACAUGAUGAUCCUAAGAAUUCAAUUUAGCUCCAUUCUUGGUAAUCUUAUCAACUACUAUGCUACAUCACUUGAUGAAACAGAGACAUAUGUAAUAAUGACAUAUAAACUAAUGCAUGCUACAUCAAUUUUUUUUCCUCUUUUUUAAUAAGUUGGUCAUACAUGUCUAGAAUGGAUGAAAAUAAUCUCUAUAUUUCACCAUUGUUUUCAAAGCAAAGGAGGUAUCUUGCCAAGGAUUUUAGCCACAUCUCAAAAAUACAUUUGGUUUAGCUAUAAAAUAUAUAGUACUCAUCAGACGGGCUAUAAACUCAUUAGCAAUUAUUCAGUGGCAAUAUGAUUGAUUUCCUCAGCCAGGAUAAUGAUACCUCCUUUGGCAAUCAUCACUCAACAUAUUGAAAUAAAAGCUUUAAGAAAGAAAGAAAAAAUGAUGAAAAAAUGGAUGAAAAUUGAAAAGAGUAGUUAAAUCAUGAUAUAAGUGGAUGAAGCAUUGCAAAAAGGAAAAAAUGUCCUUCCAUUUACAACAUAAAAGGUUUCAACUGCUACAUCUGAGAGUAACAGUCGCUUUUAUAAAAUACAUUCAAAGAUUGCAAAACAUAUUAGUUAAUGGAGCAUGUAUUGUCUAUCUUCAAGCGAACUGUAUCAUUAAUGGAACCCAUGUCCAGUUUGCAUUACUCUUGUAUGCCAGUCAUUCAGAGAGGUUUGGGCGGAUAAAUGGGGCUGUAGACCUUUUCCUAUUAUUGACAAGAUUUCAAUGCAGAGUGCACAGAAAGCAAUGCAACUUUACAACGAGUAUUGUUACAGACAAUGAAGAAUAAUGCAACAAAUAUUAGUAGAUUGUGACAUUCACAUUACAAUUCAUAUGACUUAAUUGCGAAGAAACAUACCUUAUUUACUACGGCAAAAGCAGCCUGGAUGGGAGUCAUAUCCUCAUAUGGUAUAGUUCCAGUCACCAUUUCCCAUAAGAUAAGCCCAAAACUAUAUACAUCAACCUUUCUCCCAUAGGAUUUUCGUUUGAUCAUCUCAGGUGCCAUCCAGCGGUAGGUACCAGGGUCAUCAGCAAAUAAGUCACAGUAUGCUUCCUCACAAGCAAUGCCAAAAUCAGCAAUUUUAAGGUGAAAGUCUUCAUUGAUAAGGACAUUCUCCGGUUUAAGGUCUCGGUGAAUGACACCUUGAGAGUGUAUAUAUUCCAUUCCACGAGCAAUGUCCAGAGCAAAAGCAAUUAGCUUCCCUAGAGAAAUAGUUUUUCUUUCCAACUUAUGCAAAUAUGACCUCAACGAACCUUCUGAUAGAUAUUCUGUGAUAACACAAUAAACAUGUGGCUUUCUACAUGCUGCUACGAACUGUGUAAUCAGAUCAAGAUAAAUGAGAAGUGUGUAAGUACCAGCCUCCUAAUCACAUUAAAUUCUCUGAACAUGAUAUGAACUGCUCAAUCAGACUAUGGUAAAGAAUAUAAAAUGAAGUAUUCUUGAUUUUACUGGUGAUUAUCUCAACAUAACUAAAGGGUCAAGUACAGUAAUUAGCACAAAAUAAUGGAUAUUCUCACCCUGUAUUCAACAAGAAAAACAUAUAGUAUCUGAACAAAAGCGAAUGACAAAACUUAGAUAAAGUUCAGCAGGUGCGUGUAGUGCUGUUCUUCACUAAAAAUGUGAUAAGUGUCCCGUGUUUUUGGUACUACCUUAUCCUCCUUUAAAAAGGCUUUAAAGUUAAGGUUAAGGUGUAAAAAAACAAUACACAUACCUUGUUUUUAUCAGAAAACAACAACUGCGCCACAAGCUUGAAAAAUGAAGCAAAUAGAAGUUUGUAAACAGCAUAUACAAAAGGAGGUAAAGGAUUGGAUUAGAUUACCUUUAUAACAUUUUGAUGGUGGAGGCACGAUAAAAGCGAUACUUCUCUAAUGAAUUGUUUCUCUAAUCGAUCCACCAACAUUCCAUUUUCGUCAUCAUCCGGUACCGUGAUAAUUUUCACAGCUACAGCUUCAUCUUUAUACAUGCCAUGGUAAAGCCUGCUAUGAGCACCAUGAGCAAACCUAACACCAACAAAGAGCUUGGAGAGGUCAACAUUCCAUUCCUCAGCUGUUUCCACAGCAGUAACCUUUCCCCCUCCAUGAUCAAAGUACUUUGUCCAUCCCAAAUCCUUUCGGUGCUGCUUCGAGCUUAAUUUCAUCGAAGCAAGGUGCCUAAUUGGACUGCUGUAAGGGGAUUUAGUAGUAAUUGGACUACUGCGAGGGGAUUUGGAAUUGGACACAUGAGAAUCCUUGUUGAGCAACUUCCCCAUGAUUCUCUUGUCCUUGUUCUGUUCUUUCCUCCUUGGACCAGGUGUUGAGAACCUCUUCUGCUCAUGUCUGGCUUCCUUGAAGGUCUCAGAGAGAGAGGUUCGAGGCAAAGGGGACAAAGAUCUCUGCUUGUUCAUUAUUGGUUUCUUCUGAGCCUUGUUGGAAGCAAAAGCCACUUCAGGCCUUGAUUUCAGACUACUAGAACUGUGUUGUGCCCUUGGCUGAAUGCUGAAAGAGCCAAAUCCAGAACUGGAAUAGUUCAACCUGUGACAUACUGUGUGGGAGAAUUUGGCCCUCCUUAUCCAAGAAUUACUGCUAUCUUCAUCCAUCUUUUACCCUUUCUUCUUCAGAAGAAGAAGAAAACUAGAAGCACCUUACAAAAUCACUUUAUCCACAAUCUGAGAAAUAACUAGUCUUAAAGCCAAAAGGGUGGUGGUCCCCAAAAAACAAACUUCUCAGACUAAUUUCACACAAUCACAGGUAACUAGAUUUCCUCAAACUCAUCAACAACAACUGAGGGAUUGAACCAUGAAAAGUCAAAAAAAAAAAAUCCCAAUUGGAAUCAGAAAACCACUCAAAGCAAUCAAAACCCAGCAAGAAUGAGUUGAUGGAAAUUGGAAACCCCUCCCCCCCAAAAGAGAGAAAAAAAUCUGAAUUAAAAGCCAACAACAAACAUGCAGUGCUGUAGCGAGAGGUAACAGAAACUCCAAUCAAUCAAAAAAAAAACUUGACCUUUCAUAACCUCCUCAGCUGACACCUUUUACCAACAAAGUCAAACACCCACCACCUUCCGUAAAUGCCUGGAAAUCCCACACAGAUACCAGAAUACACUAAUCAAACCCCAAAAACAAAAAAUAUUCACUUUAAUUCAAAUCAGCAGAAAAACCACAAGUUAAAAACUAUUAGUACUUAUUUUACGUUGAUAAUGCAGAAACACCCAUCAUUAUACGUCCCCAUUGACUAACAAUAAUACUCAUUAUUUUAAAGAGUGACGAGCCAAUUAAACUAUUAUUAUAUUUCCAAAAGACCCAAAUACAGAAACAAAAAAAAAAUCAUUUUUUUAUAAAGAAAAGCAUCCCCAAAUACAAAGAAGAAAAGGGUGUCAGUAAAAUGCUAAAAUUGCAUUACCCGGAGAAAUAUCAAACCCGCGUACUACAAUUCUACAAAGGGUGUUUUUUUUGUUUUUCUUAUAUCAAAUUAUAAGAGCUUAUAAUAUGCUGAUAAAGACAGAAAUUUCCUGCACCUAAUAAAUACUCCACUUUCCACGAAGAGAGAGAGAGAAAAAAAAUCUUUUAUUUACUACUAUUAUUUUAUUAUUUUGAGAAUACAUAUACUUUGAUAAAUUUUAAAGGUGUCUUAGUAUAUUGAUUAAGAAAUUAAAGAAAUGUUUGAUAGAGAAAAAGUUUUAUUAUUUUUAAAAUUAUAUUUUUAAUAAUGAAUAAAUUUUUGUUUGAUUGGAUAUCAAAAAAUUCUAGAAAUUAAAAAAUUAUAUAAUAUAUUUACCAGUUAUUUUAAUUAUUUAUCACACUCAUAAUAAUAACAUGAUUUUUGUAUGUAAUAGAAAAAUUAAACUCGAAAAGUAAAAUUUUCAAAAACAAAAUCUUAAUUUUUAAAAACAAAUAAAAACACAGGAAACCAAGAUUUUCAAUCCUAAAUUCCUAAAAAACUUAAAACUUUUUCCUACCAAAAGACUUUUUAAAACCUCCUAAAAAGAGGAUUUUAUUAAGAUAAGUAAAAAUAUAUUUUCUAUAACUUUUUAUACACUCUUAUAAAAUCUUCAUGAAAAAUAUUCUUCUUCUAAUUUGUUAACCAAAUAUCCUUGGUCACAAGUCAGCAACAUCCAUACUUACAAUUUUAGAAUGGUCAAUGGUGAAUACGAAUGUGAACGAGUUUGGUAUGACAAACGCAGGAAAUAGAGAUUAGAGGGCGCAGAUUUUGGAAAUUGGAAGAUGAUGUUUUGGACUAGAGACGGCCAUGAUGAGGUUUGCUCCUUUGGUGGGAUGAAGGGUAACUCUGUAGGGUAGAGAUGGGGAUGGAUGUACUCAUUGUUACGUGCAGGAGAGUUAAUAUGUUUUGUAUUGCUUUCUUAGUAGAAAUAUUUAUUGUCAUUAAUUAUAUUUGGUAGGUUUUAAAUAUAAGAGAUUCUUACAUGUUCUUAUGAUAGUGUUGUUAUACCAUACUGCUUUAAUGCUUGUCUUGAUGCGUUUUUUUAUUGUUUUAAAACAUUUUAAUGAUUCUUGUGAUUAGUAAAAAAAAUGUAUUGUAAUUAAUGAUUUACCUAACUUGUGUGGCGAAUUUGCAUACUUAUAGCAAUCAAUUUAUAUAAUGAUAUGUACUAUACUGAAUCGACAAAACCUUCAUACUGUGUGGGCGGGCAUGUACAUCUCUUGUUUUAUUUAUUCUCUGAGUCUCGACAGAGAUUAAAAAAAAAAUUUACUGAUUAUCGAAGAGAAGAAUCAAGGUAAGAUCCCACACAGAAUUGUCAAAUAAGAUAAGAUUACAUUCAAAUAAGAUAAUAACAUAAUGUAAAAUUGUUAUUUGCCUAUUAGUUUCCAAGAAUAAAUAUAUGUACUUGACAAUGUAACAAUGUUUACUAUUUAAUCACAAUUUUUACCAUUACUGAUUAGUUUGUUAAUAGUUAUUUUAAAAAUUAUAUAAACAAAGAUUUAUAAUUGAUUAAUAUUGUAAAAAGAACUAAACUACAAAUAUAUCAAUAUGUAGAAAUAAAAUUCAUAUAGUAAUUAUUAAAAAAAAUUAAAAGCUAAUACAUUUGAUAAAUGGAAGGAAGUGGGAAAGGAAGGAAAAUAAAAGUCACGAGACAGAAUUGAAAGUAUGAGUUUUAUUUUUGGUUAGAAUAAUUCUAUUAUUUUUAGUAAUGUAUUUUUUAUAAAUUUUUAUUUAUUAAAUAAAGAAAGAACUAAAUACAUUAAACACAUAUUUAAAAUAUUGAAAUAUUUAAUUUUUAUUCAAUAUUUAUUUUAUAAAAUAUUCACAAAAUUAUAAGAAAAAUAUAGAGUAAUUAUGUUCAUAUUUAUUUUUUAUCUUGUUUUUAAUUAUCAUUUCUGUUUUCUUUUUUCAUCACAUCAUUUAUUAUUUUGUUCUUCUACUUUUAUUCUGCUUUCUUUCUUCUUUCUUUCUUCUUCUUCAAAUCUACUCCAAAAUGAAAGGAAUGUCUAUUGUAUUUGUUUUUAAAUAUAAUAAGAACUGCAACAUUACUUUAGAUGUGUUUAGUCUAGAGAAGAAAAAUAGAGGGAAAAAAAGAAAUAAAAAAUAUUUUUUAAAAUUAAAAUAAAAUAUAAAAGGUAUAAGUCUCACAAAAUAUAAUAUCAAUUUUUUUGAAUAUUAUUUUCCUCUUUAAACAAACAAAUCCUUUCUUCUCUAUAUUGUUUAGUUAAAAGAAAUGGUGAGAGCGUAUGGUGAAUGGAGGAAUCCAUGUGUCACUAUAGGGGAGAAUGAGGUACGGAUUCGAUUUUUGUAUAUGUUUGGUUCUGAAGAUGCAUACUUCAACGAAACUACUACACAACUUGUACGGUUGGUUGCAUUGUACGAUACGGUUCCCAAAACAAAACUAAACCCAUUUGGCCACCAAACGGUACGAAUCUACAUAACUUUGUACCUUGUUUACCCAAAAAAUAAGAAAUGAAAUCGACUUAAUUUAACACUUAUUGUCACAUUACUUGUUUGUUUCGAUGUUAAUGGCCUCUUAUGCUGUCUUAAUUAAUAAGAACAAGAUAUAAAUCUCAUUAGAAAUUAUAUUAUUGGCUUAAGUUAGAGAAGACAAAUACAUGGGGACAUGGGGUGAUGGGGGAAGCCUUUGCUUGCACUUAAUGUCAUUGGAAAAAUUUAAAAAUUAAGAAAUGCAAUAUUCAAUUAUUAUUUCCCAAUGGCCAAACAAAAUAUCCUUAUUGUACGGAUUUUGAAUCUCCAUUCAAUAUUAAAUGGUGAGUGAUUAUGAUUUUUUGAAAAUAAAAUAAAAUAAAAAGGUAGAUGAAGAUGGCAUAUAUAUGAUAAGAGUUAUUAGUUUUACCCAUGCAACCAUCUAUUAGAAUAUUAGUUGAACAUAUUUCCCGUGACAUGGAGAAGAACAAUUCCUAUUUUUUCAUAUAUGUUGAAAAUUUUCAUACCUUGCAGGCAGGCAUGGAAAACUUGACCUUGCACAGUCACACAUAUAUGAUAGGAGAGAGAAAGAUAGAGAAUUCGAUAGCGAACGAUUGAACGACGCAUACGCACACCUCACAUCAAUCAAUCAAAGAAAAUAAAAUGGGAAUGGAAUGUGAAUUUGACAUUUGACUCUUUUUUCUAUUCUUCAUCUUUUAUGAAUGAAUUCUCACUUAGUGUAUGAAUGAGUCAAAAAAUAAAAAAAUAAUCAACACUACACUUGCGUCUUCUUUCGUCAUAAGUGACACAUUAUGACGUCUCUAAUUUUAUAUAUAACUAUAUAAACUUAUUAAACUGGGACUAUUUUAUGUUUUUUUUUUAAUUAGAUUGUAUAAUCAAAUUCCCAUUUCCUUGAAACAAUAAAAACAUUGGAAAUCAUAUUAAUUUCUUUUUGGCUUUUUAGGAAACGUCUUAGUUUUAUAUAAAUGCUAUUAGCGAUUUUUGAACUUUAUAAAUGACAUGACGUUACACACUAAUAGCAUCUACUAUAAAACUUCGCCUAAAAUCUUUAUUUUAUUUUUCUUAAGUCUCAAAAUUCAUAGUAAAGAUUAAAAACUAGUUGUUGAUAAUAUUGAGGGUCAUAAAAAGAGAACUUAAUUAUAAUAAUGCAUAUGAAUGUCUUUCAAAAGGGGUUAAAAGAAAGAAUAUGUAAUUUUUAAAAUAAAAAAGAAAACUUAAUGUAGUUUAAACGUUUCAAAAUAAAUAUUUUACACUAAAUAUAGUUAAGAAAAAUUAUCUUAAAACCUUUUUUUCUUGGAAGAAAAAUAUUAAGUCCAUUUCAAAUUUUAGUUAUUUGUUAAUAAAACAGCAUGGAACUUUUAUAAUAAUGAAAAUAUAAAAAAAAAAAUUAUUAACCUAUCUGUUGUAUCUCCCCCAAAUAAAAUAAUACAAGUAAUAGUUUGCCUCAAAGAACUUGGUUGUCAAAGAACUUGGCCCAUUAUCGAUUGUUAGUUUGUUACGAAUUAUGUCAAGCCAGUUGUUAUUAGUUUCACUCCUAUUACUCCUAGCGCCCUACUAAGGAGCUUACCCUUUUACAAAUUGUCCUUCCCACAGAAUUAUGGUUCCAUGGUAGGUCAUGCACUGUACAACCAUAAUUUCAUUCAUUCUUAUAAUUUUCUUGUAAGUGACUUUAAUCAAACAAGUUUCGUGUUUAAAACUUGAAUUUUUUUUGAAAGAAUUAAUAUGUCAUGAAUUAAAUAAGGGAUCAUUUUAGAACUUAUAAAACUUAGGAACUAAUUUAGAAAAAAAAAAAAAGAGAUUAUUUCCAUAUUGUAGACUAUUUUUAAAAUGCAAAUUACAAAUUAAUCUUUCUUUUUUUCAAUUUGAGUCAUUAGAACUCCCUUCCUCAAUCUUGAACACCUACCCCCAUUAGAGGUGGGUAAAUGGGUUCAUGACUAUGAACCGGUCCAUGGGACCCACGGUACCACGAUUUGUGUGGCCCGUGGACUAAUUUUUUUAAAAAUGCAUGACUAUACAGGAUUCUGCCUGAUCCCCUGCCAAUGCGCCAGCUUAACCACCCCAAACAACCAUCCCACAUUAUCAUUUAAAAUCCAGUGCAUCCUCUGAACUCCUCCCCCAAUUAAAACAACCCAAACACAAUCAACACUUUUCCUCUCCAUUACAACUAAUUUGGCCAUCUUCUCUGCUUGCCUUUUAGUUAAUUUGUGCUUUUAAUUUAGCCAUGGAUUUUUUUUUUUAAUUUACCCCUCAAUUUCUCCCAAGAAAAAUCAAGAAAAAACAUUUAAAAAAAUGGGAUAUAUUUAAUGCACGAAUAAUUGUUUGUAAGGUUUGAAUUUGAAAUCAUCCAUGGCAGGUUCAUUGCACGAGGACGACAAUGAAAUCUCAUAGAAGAUAGUGGUGACAUUGUUCAAGGCUAAAUUGAUUUUUGCCUUUUCCUCUAAUGUUGGGUGAUGCACAUAACCUGCAUAUGUACAAGUUGUUUUCGGUGGUGAAAGGAAAGGUAGAUACGACGUCGUUUGCAAUGGGAAGUUGUGAUGCACAUAACCCCUUUUUUUCAAUUCGAGUCUAACAAGUCUUUUUUUCAAACACCUUACAUACUUAUUCCUAUCAUCCACCAUAUCACACAUUACUCUCAAUACUUACUCAAAACCAGUUUAACAGAGGAAAAAACACUCAAGCCUAACCCGAAUUCCUCCCUAAUUGAACCCACAACUUCCUAGUGCAAACUGCAUUGUAUCCACCUUUCCCUUUCAGCACCAAAAAGUCAAAAACUUAUACGAAUCCAAGUGUUAUCUAUCUCCCAGUAAUGACGAAAAGUGCAAGAAGCAAUUAAACGCAGAAUUUUCACCUCAACAAGGAACUUCACUGAACCUUAUCAUUCGAGCCUCCAACAAUGUAAUCACCAUCUUCUACGAGACUCCAUUGUCAAGUAAGAACCGGCCUACCAUGGAUUUGAAUUCACAUACACAACCCAUUGUUUUUGUUCCACCACCUGCAUUCACAAAUAAAAACUUGACACCAAUGACCCAUGCCAAAUCAAGGGCCAUAAACGUCAAAUCCGAGCAUGCAUCAUUGUCUACAUGGAUUCUCCCACAAACCAACUCGAGGGCCAUAGUUCGAUGAUUACACAUUUUGAAAUCAUUCUGACAGACGAUGCUCAGAAUAAUGUUUAGAGCUCAAGGCUCUGGCAAAUUUAUUUAUCUUUCUUAUUUUGAAAUUCAGAUUCUUCAAACUAUCAGUUUGUUCCAAGAAAUUCUACUUAAUUGCUAGUCAUAUUUAUGUGGCCUUUUUGGAAAAUGAAGCUCACAGAUGCAUUGAAAUAAACUAUGGUGCAGCUUAUCUGCAUUAGCUUUUGGAGAAUCAUAGAUUAUAAACUGCAUGAUCUGGUAUACACAAGGAUUUCUUUUAUAGUACUUCAAAAUGGAAAAGUGUUUUGGUGUUCAGGAUCAGAAAAAUGCUAAAAGGAAGUAAAAUCAUGUGAAAAACACUCAAUUAUAUAUAUUGCUAGCAAUGGGUUACAAUUGAAACCAAACUUCACCUGUAAUUCAUUUGGGAGUAGGGGGAGCGGGGUAGGCCAUUAUCAUUGGCAUAAUACUAUAUAUUGAAGCUGCUUGAGUUCUUUUCCAGGUGCUGAAGUAGCAGUUGCUUCAAAAUUACAAUUCUGUCAGACUCGUAUUUUGAAUUAUAUCAGACUGUUGACCCCACUUUAUGAUACCUUUCGAGAAAGGUUCUUCAUGCCAUAACCAAUACACUUUAGAAAAACCGACUGUGAGUUUGGAUCUGGUUUGAUAAUAAACUUCAAAUCAAGAAAAUCCCUUAGGUUUCUGAGAGUUUCAACUCCAUGCUGCGAAAGUUUUCCUACACGAACCUUGGAAACAUCUUGAGGGCAUAGAGCACAUAGAAGAAAUAACAAACCCUAUAAACCAAAACAUUAAAAAAUAUAUUAGGUAAGCCAAAGUUCCACAGAUGGAAGCAAUUUUCAUCUUAUUAGUCCUACAAAUCCAGGUGCAAGAUAAUAAAAUUGAAAUAGCUACUUAUUUCAGCACCAAAGAAUAGAAUUUGAGUCGUAAAACUUCCAGGGAGGGUACAUCUCUGCUGCAUGUUCUCUUUUCUUUUCCUUUUUUUCUACCUGUUCCAUAGCUUUUCAUCUCUACUAUCUAAAAAAAUUUAAGUCUAUAUUCUCUCUCUUUUACCAGUAUCAGUCAACCAGGGUAAUAGUUUUCUGUUUGUUAAGAAGCUUUCAUCCAUAAUUAUGAGUUUAAUACCAGUAUCAAUCAUUUGGUAAAGAACCAUUAAAGGGGAUGAAACUGCUAAUAAACUAACCUGAUGUGUUGAAUCUACCACUCCACUUUGAGCUAUCUCCCCUAGUAAAGCACUAGCAAUCCCCACACCAAUAUCAUCUGGCGGCAUUAAGUCUCGUUUCGCAUCAUCUGCAAGGCCAGAAGUAUCGUCAUCCCUCACUUGAGAAACAGCAGUGUCUACAGAAAUGAAACAACCAGACGUAGUUUCCGCAACCAGAGAAAUCCCAUAUCCAGGAGAGCUGCAACAGCAAAUGACAAAUAAAAGGAAUUACAUUUUAAUACAAUACAAUAUGACUUGCACUUUUCUACCAAAUAUAUUUCCACAAUUCAAAUUUAAAUAUUCAACAAUUUCCACUGAAUGGAAGGAAUCAUACUUACUUUCCAGCCUCAGGACCUGAUCUGUGAUCAGAGAAAAUGUGCACAUCAGAAACCAGCGGAUUGAUGAUUCCACGGGCAGCUUUAAUCAUGCCAUAUUCAAACUGAACAGACACUCUUGUUGAAAAAGAAGUUCCCCUAAUUUUCCUCACAAAACCCUCAUCAAUCCAACUAACCGCCUGUUGGAAAGAACAUACAUAUAUAAGGCAUUAAAAAAAUUUAAAUUAACCAUCAAAUCAAAUUAUCAAAAAUUCAGAAACUUACCGUUAGACUCUGAACAACAGGAACAGACAAAAGAACUUCACCACCACCAUUGGGAGGUAAUCCACGACUCUCUACUUUAAUCUCCAAGCCUUCAGAUGGAACUCCAAAGCGCUUCAAUAUAGGUAAAGUCGUUGACUUGAAGGUAUCAACAGAUGGAUCUUUAGAAUCAUUUGUAAUUCCUGUGCGAACAGUUUUUUUUAGAUUUAAAGUUUAAACCACCACAAUAUCUUCGUUUUUCUACAUAAAUAGGAAGUAGAAUACAAUUACUAUUAUACCUUUGAGCCUGAUAGUAAGGGGCUGUUUGGCAAACAAACACAACACAAUGAGUGGCUCCAGAAAGUAACCAAUGGACCGUGAGACGCCGCAAUCGUGUGGACUGUGUUGUCUGCCACCCAUAAUAGUUCCCGGUUUGUACUUUAAUUUGGUACCUGCCCAAACCAAACAGAAUGAAUAAUCAAACGGUCGUUGGUUCGAAUCCCCUCGCUAACAUUCUAAUAUGAAACUAAGAAACAAGAAACAUAAGAUUUGGCGAUAAAUAAUUAAGAAAAUGGUUACCGGUUUCGUUGAUUUCGACGUGGCAAUCGUCGCAGACGGUUUCGAAGAGUCGGAGGAGAGAAAUUUCGUGGUUGCGGAGGCCGGGCCAUGUCUCGUCGGCGCGAAUGUCCUCGAUGAGAAUGGGAGUGGAGGAGAGAGUAGAGAGAAGAAGGCGUUGCCUGAAGCUCUGGCUUCCCUUCAGCCUCUUGUAAGCCGUUUUCCCCAUUCUGUGCAGCAACUCAAACUCACUCGUGCCAACUUUAUCAAGCUGCACAUAUUUAUACGGACGGUUUUCGGGUUCAGACUCGGUCUAUUUUUUUGUUGUAGGGUUUCUAAAGUGUGACUCAAUCUGGGCCAGUCGCCCAUUCUUAUUGGUCCCAACACUAUUGCUAUUUGUCCCUUUCAAGUGGCUCAAUUUUAUUUUUCUAAAGAUACCCUUUCCACAUAAUCAUGUUUUUUUACGUGAAAAUGUGUUUUCAUUUUAUAUUUUGUUCGCACCCCGCACUAUAAUGGAAACAUGAUUCUCUAUACAAAUUUUGAAACGGAAUUACGAUUCCAUUUUAGAUUUUGAACACGGAAUCACAAUUUCAUUUUUUUUUUGUUUUAACUUUAAAUAAAAAAAACAAGGAAAACAUGAUUCUGCGUAUAAAAUAUAAAAGGAAAACAUGAUUUUGUUUCAGAUUUUAUACGCAAAAUAAGAAAAGAUUUGGUUCGAUGAAUGGGAAAAGAAAGGGUGCAAUGGGUUUGAAUUAAGGGGCAAAAUUAUCUCUCCAUGAGCUUUAAAAGUUGAUAAGGGUCCAUAGCAAUUAUUGUUGGAGUCAACAACAACUCUUUGUUUGGUUUCUCAAGGAAUUGGACUUCAAACAAUUACUAAUGGCCCAAGCCUUAUAUGCUGAAGGGAGUUGAUAUUGGCAUCAACCAAAAUUGUUGUUGACUCUUACAAAACUUUAAAAUCCCUAAAAGAAAUUAUUUUAUCCCUUUGUUCAAACAGUCUAUUCCUCCUUCUGUCUCCUUCCUCCUACAUGUGCCCCUUUCUUUUCACCCGAUGUUAAAUGCACAACAAAAACACAAUUACACUGAUAUUUAUUGAAAUACACAAUAGAAUUAUAUUUUUAUUUUAUAUUCUUAAAACAAUAAACAAAUAGAUAAUGUGAAUAUGAUUUUAUUGUGAUCUUCAUAUUUUUGUUUUGUUUUUUUUUUGUUUUUAUGAUUUUUUUAUCAGUUAUAAAUGUAAGUUAUUUUUUUUAAAAUAAUCAAAUUAAUUGUGAUAUAAUUUAUCAUUUUUAAUAGUACUUAGUAUCUUUUUGGCUAAAAUGUAAUGCUUGUUUCUCUAAUUUUUAAAAUUCGUAAUUUUGGUCCGUAAAUUUUAAUUGUAAUGUUUGGUCUCCCUCCCCAAGUCUUAUAAAGCGGUGAUUUUGGUCUUCCAGGUAGACGAUUAACAAAUAAUUUAGAUUAGUUUAGGUAUUAAAAUAAUUAUGAAUUAACCAAAGCUAUUAAUUAUUAAAAAAUGAAUAAAAAUUAUUAAUCAUAAUUUCCCAUAACACUAUAUUCCUCUUCUUCUCCACAAACACUUCUUCAACCUCCUCCACUAUUGCACGUGACAAAUAGAUAGUAAUACCACAUUAGGAUUAAUAGUCUUUUAUUAAAUUUUUUAAUGAUUUAUAAUUUUUAAUUAAUUUAAUAUCUCUAAUAGUCAUAAUUAUUAGUUAAUAAUCUAUCAGGGGACCAAAAUCGUAAAUUUAUGAUACUAAGGGAACUAAAUGUUACAAUUAAAAAUAAAGGAAAUCAAAAUCAUGGAUUUGAAAAAUUAAAAAACUAAAAUUACAAUUUAACCUAUUUUUAAAAUUAGAAUUAAAUUAAUUGGAUACAAGUUAUCAUUUAUAAAGAUAAUCAAAUUAAUUAUUAUAAGAAUUAAGUUUAUUACAAUUAAAAAAGUAAUUUAUGUCAUCAUUAAUUUAAAUAUAAUUUAUGUAAUAAUUAAUUUAAUUACUAUUAAAAAAAUAAUAUAUGUCAUCAUUAAUAUAAUUUGUAUAAAAAUUAAUUUAAGUUAAAAAGAUAACUUAUUUGUUACAAUUCGUAAAAAAAUACCUAACGGUAUAAAAAGGAUCGGAGGUACUAUUUAAUAAUAAAAAAUUUCAACUCUUAUGUGUGAUAAAAAAAACGUAUUCCAAAAUCAUUGUUAUUUUAAAUUUUUAAUAUAAUAUUAACUAUUUUUUAUUUAUAUUCCUUAUAAUAUUAAUUAUAUGAUCUAUGAAAACAAAAAAAAAUAAUGAGGAUAAGAUUAAUUUUGUAAAAUUAUUAUUAUUUUUUAUUUAUGUAAUGAUUUUCCAUGUAUGAGACUCAAUAACUAAGAUAUUAAUACAUAUAAUAAUAAUUUUAGAGGGGCCAGGCUAGUAUGCGGGGGGGAGGCGGGGUCACGUCCUUGUUUUUUUUUUUUUUUUUUUUUUUUUUUUUUUUUCUUUUUUUUUUUCUUUUUUUUNNNNNNNNNNNNNNNNNNNNNNNNNNNNNNNNNNNNNNNNNNNNNNNNNNNNNNNNNNNNNNNNNNNNNNNNNNNNNNNNNNNNNNNNNNNNNNNNNNNNGCCGCGCGAGUUGAAUGACAUUAUUCCUGACAAUUCAAUAUACUAAUACUUGCAUUUACUUUUUAUAAGAGUAACAAGGAAUUCAUUUAUAAAACAUGUACAAAAGAUUUGUAUUUUUUUAACAAAACAAAAAAAAAAUAUAUUUAGUAACAUAGAGAUAUUAAUACAUUUAUAAGUUAUAACAAACAAUAUAUUUUUCUUGGGACGGCAGCAAACAAUAUCUUGGAACGACAUAUCAAAAACUUUAUAAAGUUAUAUUGGACAACAUAUUUUUAACUAUUUUUUACUUUUUUAUUAAGGGAAAAACUCAUUUGAUUGUUUGAUAAAUAAUUUUUUUUUUAUUUUUAAUGUUUUUUGAAAUAUUAUUUGAAGUAACCCUUUUUAAAAUAUUACCUUCUAAUUUUUAUUUUUUUUAUAUUUUAUUUCACUUUUAUUAUUGAUAUAUUUAUUUAAAUUUUUUAUUAUCUUUCUUAAAUAAAUCAUAAUUUUAUUUUUUUUAUAUUAUUUUACAUUUUUCAACUUUUAAUUGUUAAUUUUAUCAAAUACUUUUAAUUUAAUAAGUUAUUUUUUUAAUUUUUAGUUACUAGCUUGUCUAUAUGUUUCAGUUAACUUUUAAAUUAAUUUUAUCAAACAAAUAUAAAUAUGUCUAUUUUUAUCAUUUUAUAUUUCUUAACUACUUCAAUAAAUAAUUUUAUCGAAUAUCUAUGAUUAAAUAAGCUAGUUUAAAAUAGUUUGCAGCAAUUAUUAACUUUUUUAACUUUUAAUUGAUUUUUUGGCUUUUAGUUAAUUGUUUACCUACAUUUGACAAACAUAAUUUAAUCCACAUAAUUAAAAAGUUACUUUUCGAACAUCGUCUAAUGCAAACAUAACCUACUUUUGUGAGAACACAUUUUUAUGGCAAUCCCAUACAUCUAUGUAACAUUCACGGCUACAGAAACACGUUUUAUAUCAAUUUUGGAAGACAUUUUACAUUGGUUCCAAAUUCAAUGUAGUAUAACGCGAUGUUAAAUGUAGGAAAGAUUCUGCAUAUAUCACAAAACAGAUGCAGAAUCCCCAAUUUCUACAUCAAUUCCUCCAAAUUCUCCAAUCCAAAUAACUAGGACAUAUAUGAAUAUUGAGAAAGUGUAAAAGUAUAAAGUAAUCUUCUAUGUUAAAGCAUGUGAAAUUGAUCUAGAUGUUUGAUUUGUUGGAUUGGAGAAUGGUGAAAAUUUGAUUUCCGAUAAAACUAAAGUUGUUUGACAUUAUGUUUCAAGGUAGAGAAGGAUAGGACUAUCCUAGAAAUUGAGGCUACAAAUUAUAACAAAACUAGUCUUCGAAUAACAAGCACUAGAAUUGCAGAAUGCUUAUAUACGACAUGAUCAUGAUCAGGGGCGAAACCAAAAUAAAGUGCAAGGGGGAAAAUCUUUAUCGCAAUAUAAGUAAAAUUACCAAUAACGAAUUUCAUUAAUCGUUUAAAAUUUAGACUAAUUAAUGAAGAACAAAAGAUCAUAUAUCAAAUGAAAGUAAAUAUAAGUAUUAUUGAUGCAAAGAAGACACGCAUACAAACAAACAAAAAAAUAUAUUUUCAAUCAUUAAGAUUAUGAUCUUUAAUUUUUGAUUUGAUAAAACUCUUCUAUAAUUAUUUAACAAAGGCCAAGCAAUCUUGAGUGAUUAUUCAGAAGAGUUUCAGCAAGUAGACACUUUCUCAAACACUUCAUCACCAAAUGUUUCAUGAAUUAUGCUAAGAGCAUAUUGAACCAUAUAUUAUGCUAAACACAUUUUUUAUUCAUUCAAUAUGAUGAGAUGUUUCUAUAGAAUUCUUCUCUUAAUCUCUAAGAUCUAUUAUAACCUUUCUUCUCCCAAACUUAUUUAAGCUUUUUUUUAUUGUCUUGAUAUUUUUAUUCUCUUAUUCUGAUUUUUAAUUAAUUUAUAAUAAAAUAAAUAACAUUUGAAUUAUUUUUCAUUGAUGAAUAAUCUAAUCCGUGCACAAUACAUAAUAAUAAGAAUUUAUUUGAAUAAACUUUUCAUAGGAAGAUAUAGAAGGAGAAAACUAAAAAGAAAAAUGAAAUAAGCUUAUGGAAAUAUAAGUUAAAAUUACUUUAUGCAUAAAAUACUUUAUAAAAACUCUCUCAUAUAUGUUUUAACUUUUGUAAAAGAUGAUUUUUAACUUAUACGUGGGUUAUUAGAAAAAUCUAUCCUGGCAUACCCAAAUUAUAUAAUAAAAUCUCUUCAUAGCUAGUGAUCAAUUUGAUAAAUUGAUAAUAUCCUAAUGAAACAACAAAUAAAGAUAAAAAUAACUAUUGUCAUUAAUCUGCAUUUCCAGAUAUUACUUUUCAUGCUACUUUGAACUAAUAAAGGAGCAAAAAUUAUUCAUCCCCUUGAUCACCUAUAUGAUUUUAUAAAGAGAUUAAAGCAAGGUCAUUAGAUUUAAUUAAACUAGCCCACCAAAGGAAAAAAGAAAAGAUUUUGAAUUUAUAAAAAUAUUAGGUAGAUCUCUUUAGUAGAUUGGCAAAAUAAAUAUGAUUUUAACCUUAGCUUCAAUUGUGUCAUUAUAUAUGUAAAACAAUCUACUAUUCCGAACCUAAUAUAAGUAAAUUAACUAACUUAGGAUUUAAAAAAUUAGUUAAUAUCAUUAAAUUUUUUUAAUAACAUUUAAAAAAUAUUUUUUUCUGAAGUACUGUUCAUUAAUUAGUACUUGAUAUUAAGAAUAAAAAUGAGUUAUUAAAAUUAUAAUCACAAUCAAUUAAAAAGUAUUUUUGUGAAUGACGAUGUCAAUAAAAAGGAUGAAAAUAAUUAAAAAUACUUAUAUUUGAGAUUAUUUUUUUUUAUUAUAUUUAGGUCUAAAGAGAGUAUCAAUCAACAAAAUAGCUAGGUAAAUUGUUUAAUGGAUCUUCCAAAUUCAGGGCAACGACUUUGAAGUACCAACCUAUUGCUACAAAUAAUUUAAUUAGAGAUUAGAGAAAUAAAACCUACUUUUCUGUAGUAAUUACAAUCACAAAACUUCAACAGCUGUACAAUGCAUAUUGGGAAGCUUCAACAUUUCUGUCUUAAAAUUAUUAUUUUCUAGCAUCAGAUCCACUGUUAGCAGUGAUGCUCUAGGCUUUGGUUUUGGCAUCACCACCUCGGAAUACCCCAUCAUUGAAUUAAGUGAUGAAGUAGUUGUUGAGGUGUUCCUUUUGCAUGAACCUAGCCACUUAGCUUGCAUGUACUUGUGCUUCCUCCAUGGUCCCAUGUGCAUUUUGUUUUCCUUCAUGCACUUUUUUGCUCCCAUACACAACACCUUGAUGAUGUUGCUUAAUCUCUCUAUUUUCCCCACGUACACCUCAGGGAGCUUGCUCACUAGCCCGUUGUACUCUUCACUUGCCCUUGCCAUCUCAAACUCUGCUCGAAAAUUCAGUUCUAUGAUCACCCUAACUUCUUGCUUUUUGCUUGUGCUGUCUAUUACAUCUAGGAAAGUAUGCUCUCCUGCACAGUUAAUUGUAAAAUUAAGUUAGCUUUUCAUUUCUUUAAUUGCUACUUAUAUGUGUCAUUUUUAUUCAUAGAAAUUCGACUCCUAUAUUUUUUUUUUUACAAUAACACAUACUGUUUCACUAACUAAAUUAGACACUGAAUUACAUGUAUCCGUCUAUCAAAAAGUUUGAAGUUAUUAAUUAUUUUUGUGAGGGACUAAUAAAUUUAAAGUUUGUUUGUACCGAACACCUUAAUUAAAUAGUUACUAGGAAGCCAAGUUGUCCUAGAAAAUAUGUAUGCACCUAAUGCCUAAUAUAAAUUAUAACUGACAUGGAAAAUGAUAUAAUUAUUUUUUAUAAUAGAGCUACAAAGGAAAGUGACAAUAGCUAUUGAUAUGAAAGUGAUUUCUAGAUUAAAAAAUAAAUGAGAUAACGUUGUUAAUUAAUAAUAGUUUCUUUCUGAUUAUAUAUGUUAAUUAUACAUACAUAUAUAUAUAUACCUAUCAAGAAGGCUUUUUUUUCAAUUUUUAAAACAUGAAAUAGGAAAAAGUGUUACGAAUGUCAAAAAGGGAAAAAGAAUCAAAAGGUACAUUUGUUGGAAUGAAUGUAUAUUGUCUUUGACUAAUUCUUGAAUAGGGAACAGAUAGAGUUUUUUUGUUUAUUAUUUUUAUAAUGCAAUAUAGCUGUUUACCUGAUGGAAUAUUACUUGGUGAGCUUCUCCAUUUUGUUUUGCAAAUGGCACUGUUAUAACCAGAAUUCUGAAGGCGUCUUGAGACUUCUAUAAUGAAGCAGUUUCUACAGGAUCUGGAAAUUAUCUGUCUACUGCAACUGCACACUAUUUCUGCGUUUUGUAUUUCCUGAACGGCUUCUUUGGUGGCAUUCCUUAUCCUUGACUCAAUAGAAGUUGAUCUAUAUAGGUAGUUCUGCAUAAUUAAAUAGAAAAACCAACUUGGUCAAAACCAACGCGUCUAAAACCUCAUAAGCCAACUAAGAUUUUGGAGCAACAAAAUGGAAAUGAUAAAACUACUAAUCAAAAUUACGUUUUAAAUCAAAAUGAAAUUAAUUAUUAACGAUGUAUUAAAUUCUAAUUAACAAGAUAUUUCAAAUUUUAAUCAUGUAUUUCAUGUUCAUAUUUUUCAGUAUAUAUACGUUAAACCCAGUUUAUUUUAAAAAAUAUAUUUUUUUCUUUUUUUCUCAAGAAAAAGUUUAUAACUUAAUUAGAAUGCAUCGAGAAUAUGGAAGAAAAAAAAUAGUAUAUCAUCUACUCACAAAUUUUCAAAUAUAAUAAGUUUGUCGAUGUUAAAAAUAAUUAAAAUCAUAUCUGAUAUAAAUCUUGUUGAGUUGAAAUGAUAAAAAAUCUCUAUGCAAACAAUGGAUAUAUGGAAUUGGAUACUAAACUCAAACUUUUGAAAUAAAAGAAUUGGAUACUCUAAACACAGGCUUUAGCUUCUGUAACUUGAAUUUAAAUUUGCAGAUUUCAAGUAGUUCAAAACUUCAUUGAAACAUGCAUGUGGGAGAUAAGAAUUAAUGAAGUACCAAUAAAAUUAAUUGAUUGAUUAAUUUCCUUUGCAUGUAUUAACGUUGAUCUAUUGAACAAAUCAAACAAAGAAAGAAUCAAAUACCAGAAUCAAUUAAUCAAGAACAUUAUGCCAUGUUAGUUAAUUAAUUACCUGCAAAAGCUGGUGUUGAUUAUCCCAAAAGCUUCUAUUCUCCUCAACGCUGCCACCAUCAACCCUCUCACCAUCAUCAUCAUCAUCCAAUUCCAUUUCAUUGGAUUGACGAAACUCAUCGCCAGAACUUUCAUCACUUUUGACCAACGACAUCAUCAUCUCACCAUCAUCGAGAAAUUCAAACUCCACAUCUCCAACUCCAAGUUGUAGUUUCUCGCACCCCAAUGAUUCCCUUCGGGGUAGAAACCUCGUGACUCCUCCUCGGACCAUAGAGGUAGCACCCAUUUAGAACAACACAACAACCGAACAAGGUGGUCUUCUUUCUUUUACUAAAACAAAUUAGAGUGUGGAAAUUGGAUUAAGGAAAGGGUUAUUUAUAUAUACGAAAAAAAAGUGAGUAGUGGUGAGAUAUAUCAAUCUCUAAUCGCCGCGCACAUGUAAGGGUAGAUUCUGGUAGCAUAUACGUAGUGGCGUGACCCUAUUGGUUCAUUUAUUAAUAUUUGGGGUGAAAUUCAUAUACAGCAUGGAUCCACGUCAGUGGUUUGCAAUAAUUUCAUCCAACUCAUCAUCAUCACACUGUUGCAAACCAUGUUGAUCCUGAUCUAAUUAGAACAGCGGAGAAUGAUAGAGAGAGAGAAAAGCUUAUACGUUGCAAUUGCAAGCUCAACUAUAUUUUGGGCUUAUCUCUUGUGGGGCUUACUUGUCGCUUUGUCCUUUCAAAUAAAAAUUAUAAUCAUGCAUGUGUAUGAAAAAAAAACUGCCAUGUCAUAAUUAAACAGCAAUAUGCAUAUACGUUUCUUCAUGAUUGUUCCAAUAACAGAAAGAGUUUUGGUUAAUCAAUAUUAAGACAUUAAUUAAAAAAAUAUUUAUUAUUAAAAUUAUAAGAGAAAAUAAAAAAAAAUUAUGAAUAAUAUAAAUUUACGUAUCAAUAAUAAUUUUUUUUUAAUUCUUUAACCAAUGUGUGAAGACAUUGGUUAGAUUUGUCUACUAGAAAUGUUAUAUAAUUAUUAGUUGUUAAUUAAUAACAAAUAGGGGCGAUUAACUAAUUACAGAUAGUUCAGUACAAAUAAAACUGAUUCAAAUAAUAACGUUUCUAGGUUUCUUGAAAUUGUGACUCAUACUCCCGCAAAAAGUUCACUUUUUUUAUUUGGUAAAGAUUAAAGAAAAUUAAUGUAAUCAUUCAUAUGUAACAACUACAUAUAAAAUAAAUAUAUUAAUAUGGUGUUAAUAGAUUGAUAAAAAAACAUUGUCUUUUUUAAGCAUGUGAUCAUAAGUUUUAUUUCCAGUUGAAAAAAUUGAUUUCUUUUUGUAAGUAAUAUAUAUAUAUAUAUAUAUAUAUAUAUAUAUAUAUAUAUAUAUAUAUAUAUAUAUAUAUAUAUAUAUAUAUAUAUAUAUAUAUAUAUAUAUAUAUAUAUAUAUAUAUAUAUAUAUAUAUAUAUAUAUAUAUGGUAGGUACCAGUCAGCAAUACCAAUUUUGAUAACUCAGAAAUUUCCCUCACUAAUAUUCUGCCAUCAUAAUCAGCCAGACACAUAUUGCCAUCAAGGCAUCCCUAUAGACACACUUAUCCACAACUUCCCAAGGCCCAAUACAAACAGACAGUAGCAUGUCUGUCUGCAUGUGUGUCGAGUACAUGAGAUGAUAUCUCCAAACACAUUCAAUUAGGCCACAUCAUACCUUCUGCUACAAACUCUGUAAACAUACCAGUGGACACCUAUACCAUUUAUAGAAUGAAAAAAGAGAAAGAGUUAGAUUUGUUGGUGUUCCACAAUCAAGAUUUAAAUGCAAGACUUUCGAACACCUUAUCAACAUCUAGUAAACUUUGAUCAAAGAUAAUCCGAUUUCUAUGGUUCCACAGUUCCCACACUGAAGCACACCACAUCCACCACCCACCACCAAGCAAGCAAACCUCCCUUUCUCAAGUGGUAACACUCACGUUGGAAGAAAUGAGUUGUAGGAUCUUCAUGUUAUGAGAAAGAGAUGCCUACCCAGCAAUAAAUACAAUUCCACAUCUUAGUUGCAAAUGUGCAUGUAAAUAAUACGUGAUUUACAAACUCCUCCUGAUCUUGGUAAAAACUGCACAGAUAACCCAGUUCAUUAAGUGCCACACCUCAUUUUUUGAGAUUCUCUUUUAUAAGUAAUUUAUUAAGAGAGAUCCUCCAAACAAGUGCAGCAAUAUUUAAUGGGAUAUGCAAGCUCCAUAACAGAAUAAAACCUGGUUGGAACAUUCUCUACCACCUCCAUUUUUGUCAAAUAAGUCGAGUUAACCGUAUAAGUUGAGUUGAAAAAAUUGAUCUCUUAAAAAAAAUCUCUAUACGUACCUCAAAGUAUAUUAUAUUAAUCACGAGCUUUCACUUAAGAAUAUUCUAAAAUCAUAAGAAAAAAUUAAAAAUUAUAAAAUAAAUAUAUUAGUGACGAAGAAAAAUAAAAAAGACAAAAAGGGCAGAGUUUUAAAUAUCACUUAUUGGGGGUAUAAUAAUGAAAGAAGUUGAAGUACCAACCACUAUCAUGAUAACUUUAUUAUAGUAAAGUGUACGUGGAAUUGGAAAUUUUUUUAUUUGGGAUUGACAUGGAUAAAUCCGCUUGCUAGUGUCAAAGGAUUUGUAUGUAAAAAAUUCCUUAAUUCAAAGUGGAGGGUUUAUUUGUAAUUUUGUUAAGGACACAAUAAUUGGAUUGGCAGCACUGCAGUAGCGUAAGUGCGAAACUUUGAUGAUGCAUGCUGCGCCGCGUAAGUUGCACAAAAGACAAAUUUGAAUGAACGUUCUCGUGGGGGAAUCUCAGGUUGGGACUUGAAAGCCAACCUUUUUCUAGUUCAGUGUUUUCCUUGUUUUCGGCAUGAUUAAUUGCUUCUUUCUCAGAGAUUAUUCAUCAAUAUUUUAUGUAAUUAUGAUUGUUUUUUCAUCUUAUUCUUAACCGUCAAAUUCUAUUCGAUCACUUGGGUCUUGUUUCAGAAACGUGAUGGAAGAGUUUGUAAAAUUGUUAGCAUCAUGGAAUCAAAAUAUCACGAGGCAGGGUUGUUGCAAUGUUACAUUGAAUCAAUGAAGUUAGCCUAAAAUCACCAUUUAUUUUACAUAUUCUUGAUCAUAUUGCUUCUUUCGUGUUAGAAUAAUUAUCGUUAUAAAUUUAUAUAAAUUAAUAAAAAGUAAUAAAUAAAUAAUUUUAUAAAAUUAACUUUAUAUCAUCAUUAAUUUAUUUAUAAAUUUUGUUAUUUAUCAUUAAUAUUAUAAGAAAUAUGAAUGAAAAAAAUAAUUAAUAUUACAUUAAAAAACUAAAAUAAAAAAUAUUUUUGAAAAAAAUAAUCUUACACAACAAUUAUAAUAAAACAAAAAGAAUAUGAAGAAUUAAUAAGAAUGAAAUUACAAAUAAAACUCAAACACAUAUUUUGAAGUAUUUUGGAUUAGUAUCUCAAUGUACGACAUGAUUCAGUUGGGCUAGACCAACAAGCCGAGAAAAGGGCAUGUGAUUAUGUGAAACAUGCAUUACCCUUGACCUUGAGGCAGGUCCCGAGGAUCGUGUGACCAUAACCAGGGGUGGAGCUUGAAAUUUGGCUUGAGGGAGACCAAGAAAAAAGUAUAAUUUAAUAAAUAAAGUUUACAUUUUUUUACGCAUAAAAUAUAAUAAAAAGUUAUAAUAUAUUAUAUAUUCUAUUUUAAAAAAAAUAUGUUUAUAUAAAAUAUAAAAAUAAUACUAUCUUUUAUUCUUUAGACAAGAGACAAUAGAUUAAUCUCUUUAGUUAUCAACAAAGUCUAAUACAGUUAGUAGAUAAUUGAGUUUCUUAAACAUGUUGAUAUAGAGUUUCAUUCUUUAGUCAUGCAUAUGAAGAAGAUUUUAUUGGAAGAGACAAAACACUUUUAUAAUUUCUAUGUCUUGAGGGUUAAUUUAUGAUUUUCGGUUAUGUGAAUAUUUUGUUUCUAGGAAAAAAAAUCUCUUGAUUCUAAUUAUAGAAACAUAAACUCAUUUUUAAAUGUAUUAAUUAUAUGUUUUCUUUUAUACCCUUAGAUAUUCAUUCGGAAAUUUAUUAAUAAGACACUAAAUUAUUUCACAAGUAGAUACAUUCAUUGACCUAAUAACAUUUUAAGUUACACUCGGUGGUAAAAAAGUUAUUCAUUAAAUUACAAAUAAUGUUAUCAAAUAUAAUUACUAUUAAAAUUAAUUAAUUCUUGAUAUUAUUAAUUAAAAUUAACUAGCUUAAUUAUUUUAAUUGAAUUUAAUAAAUUAAUUAUUUGUUAUAUAUAAAUAGAGAUAGUAAUAUAUGAGAACAAAAUAAAUUAGAUAGAUAAAAUAAUUUUGGAUGAUUAUAUAUCGACAUCUCAACAUCACAAAUAUUCCAUUAAAAAUUAUAAUUUUUAAAAUAAGAGUGAAAUUUUGGUCUAACAAGAGAUUGAAGACAUGUCCCUUAUUAGUUACUAAAAAAUUCAAUUUCCAUUAGAUCAACGUUAAUUAUUAAAUAUUAGAUGACAAAAAUAAUAUUUAUAUACUAUAUUUUUUUUAAAAAAAGUAUAUAUUUUUAUUUAAAAUAUGAAAUAUGGAUUGAUGAUAUUUUGUUAAUUAUAUUAUAUCAUAUAUUUUAUAAUUUUUUAAUAUAUAUUGAAUUAAUUGAACUAAUUAGUAAUCUACCGGUUUGACCUCUAAUUUAUUGAUUCAGUCCUUCCAUGGAAUUGAUGUUCGGAUCAAUUUUGAUAACACUAAUUUCAUGUAUAAUUUUUUUAACAUAUAUUUUUUUUUAUAAAUUUUAGGAAAGCCAUAAAAUUAUUUUUAUAAUAAUUAAAACACUUUUAAAAAAGUGUGUGGGGGUGGGGGAUGGAAUGGCCCCUACGAGUCCCCUUUCCCUCGACCUCUAACUCUGUUAUUGCCUAACUAACUUUUCUUUUCUAAAUUUGAGCAUUUAAAUAAACACUACAAGUAUAACCAUUUAACUUUGAUCUCAUUUACACACAUUCUUCUUCCUCUGAAACGGACUUAAACAUCGGAGUAUUUGUAGAUGUACCACAUGAUAUUGUACUUUGCCGUUUGAAGUCAAGAUCUACACCGAAACUUUGUAUGAAUUAUAAUAUUGACUUAAUUAAUUAGUAGUUGAAAAAAGAAAGAAAAAGAAAAAAAAAUAUCAAUUCAAAAUUUUCUUAUUAAAAAAAAUUAAUAAAUUAAUAAUUAAUAUUUCUCUAUAAAAAUAUUUUGCCGUGACAAUGCAUCUAUGAUUCCACCUAACAGCAGAAAGAAUGUACUUAAGAAGGAAUCACCACUAAAACAUUUUGAAUUUAGUUAAAGUCAGCAUCAAGAAUCAAACACUUCGGAUCAGUUCAAACAUAAUCUUCUUUCGUUUAAUAUUUUUUUCACGUAUCAUGUGUGUGAUGAUUGACAUAUGGGUCAACAUGUGCCAACACCAAAUAUUGAAUAUGCAUCAUGCAUAUAUGUUUAAUUUCCUUAUAUGCAAUACAUUAAUUAAUUGAUAUAACUUUUUUAUUUAUUAUAUUUCUUACCCUGUAAUCUUUUUAUUGGUGUAUAUCAAUGUCGACGUACACACAUGAUGAUGAUGGAACACAGAUCUCUGAUUAUUAGCAGAAAACAAUGCUUCCAAACAGAUAAGAUAAGUAUCAUGUGUGCAAUCUGGCCUUUCGAUCAACUUCAGGCCAUGCUGUUUGGUUAUUUUUUAGGUGCUAGCUGUGUGAGUCAGUGAAUGUUAGUGUUUCUUCUGUGGUGCAUAACACAAGUCCACGUAGUGACCAAUUCAUUGUAUGGCUAUAUAUUGAACAUCCAGGUAAAGUACCACGUGGUUUGUGUACAUGUGCUUCCUUCAUUUACAAUCGAAAACAUAUAAAUAGUCAAAAAUAUUUUGUUUGAGUUGAUAUCUAAAGAUAUCAUAUUAUAUAAUUUUUUUUUAACUUAAUCAAUGAGAAAUUAUGUGAAAUGCAGUGAUCGACAAUAUAUGAAAUGCAGUAGUGACAAUAUGUACUAAAUUAUAUGAAAUUAUUAUGAUACAUAAGAACAAUAAAUAUAGACUAUUAGGAAGAAAGUUUAAUAAAUAUCUGUGGAGGUAAUUAAAUGCAUCCGUAAUUUUUUUUUUACAAACCCGUGAUUACUUAUUUAAGGUUAAUGGUAAACUGUAAACUUAUAUACAUUGCAUUUUUUUAUUUGUAGAUUAUUUUUUAUGCUGAUACAUAGAAAUUGAAGACACCUAAAAGAGAAUUUACAGCAAAUCAUACAUUUUUCUAAAUCAACUAAAUUAGAUAUCUUGGUGCAUUUGAACACCUAAGACAAUUUCCGGAAAAAAAAAUACACAUCCUAAAAUCUUGUAGUUAUUGUCCAGAUUACCACCCUAAAAUCUCAUUUUAUGUAUUACGGGGAACAAAAAAGUUAAACCCUAGUUGAGACAGAUGGUGUCAUUUGGAUUUUAGUACUAAAAAAUUGAAACCUAAAAUCAUCACUUUUUUUUUUCUUCAGAAAUCAGCCAGGCUCGCCAGUGUAUGGCCUUUGGGCUUCUGUUUCUCGUCUUUGGGCGAUUAGCCUUUUGCUUCUGUGAUGUAAUGACCCAAAGCAAUAAAACUUAAAAAAUUGGCGUCUUUCAAAAAUAAUAAAUAAAAAAAAGAAAAUUUGCACCAGCCGGGAAUCGAACCCGGGUCUGUACCGUGGCAGGGUACUAUUCUACCACUAGACCACUGGUGCUUGUUGCCUUAUUCUUUUUAUUUAUUAGAUAAAUAAACAUAAGUCCAUGAUUAGAUUGGUUUAUUCACCUUACAUUAGGAUGUGUGUGAGGACAAUAAAAAUAGGAAUGAAAAAUUGUACUGCUUCCAUCUGUCGUGAAAUUUCAGCCAUAAAUUCUCACAUUCCAUAAUUUACCAUGCAAUAUAUAUAUACUUUGGCAGUUGUUGUGAAAGCCUGAAACCCCUUAUAACUUAUUCAUGUCAUUUAUACAAUUUCUAAUCUCAUAUUUCUAAGAAAAGUUUAAAGUCAAAACUUUUAUCAUUUUAUUUUACUUCGUUUUCUAUUGUUCAUUAAUUAUUUUAUUUAUUGGUCAUACAUUAUAUUCAUCCAUCGAGUUAGAUUCGCUCAAUACAUAUAAUAUAUUUAAAAGAGUAAAUUAUAGUCACAAUUUUUUUGUUUUAUGUGAAAUGUGUCUAACAUUACUUCUUUUUGGGGAUUUACAGAAAAAUUCCUAAUUAUUUGGUUUUAGUAUUUAACAAGUCAGGUCAUUUUUUAAAAAAUUAACAUCAAAUCAAUCUAUGUAAAUAAAUUAUUGUUGUAUUAAUGGUCUUACACUUAAUAUUUUGAUAUUACAUACUUGUUAAUUUAUUUAAUACUUAAAUUCAUUAGUUUACAAAUAAGUUUCAUUUAUGUACUUAUUUAGAGGUAUGUUUGUAAGUUAUAAAUAAAUGAACCUUAUUAUAAAGUUUUUUUUUUUUGAAAGGCAAGCAUCCAACUUAUAUAAAUGAUAACAGCCACAAAAUAUAGCCCAAAGAGAAAAUACAAUAAUCAAGAUCCAAGAAAAGACAGAAAUAAAAAAGAAUCAAGAAAUGAUUCAACUAGCAAAGGAUAAACCACUUGAACAAAGCCCUUUGUACUUGGACCAAGUCCAAGACAAAGUUUGGAUAUGCCAAAUCACAUUCUCUAUUAAACAAGUUUUGUCAAGCUUUUAGAAAGGUUAGGUCAAAUAAAAAUCUUCGUACUAAGUAAAUAGUUCAAUUUAAUUUGAAAAACAUGUCGACUCUAUCCUUAUAAAAUUUAACUUAAUUUUUUUCUCCCUUAACUGUAUUGGCUUAGAGAACAUUUUUUUAAUAAAAAACAAAAAAAAUAUGAAACCAGAUAUAAUUGAAUAUUACAUAUUACAAUUAGUCAUAACUCGUGAAUAUAAUUACGUAUCACAAUUAAUUAUACUAUGUAAUUAUAAUUGGCAAUAUAUAAAUUAACUUCUUGUCACCUAGGAUGCUAGCAAAAUACUCCCUGUCCAUUUGAAAGGAGUAUAUGUUCUUACAAUUAAUUUGCCAACAACUAAUUAACUGAUAUUGAAUUUAAACAUUUGAAAUUUGAAUGGACCAUCUCCCUUUCCAUUUUUCUUCUUGGGAACUAGAUCUGGAUUCUGGAGGAGUUAAGCCUCAAAAGUAAAAAUCAUACAAGAAAGGAAACUCCAAAACUAACAUGCAUGCCAAAGAAACUUGAACAAUAUAGAACAAUAGCAAUUCGUCAGCCAAUUCCAACUACCCUAUUUAAUUUCCUUCGCCAUAUGCACGAAAAUACAACAAAGACAAGCUUCCUUGAUCAAAGUUUGUUGCCUAUGAAGCAAUGCGUUACAGCAGUGUAUACCAUCAUUAACUAAUUCGACAGCUAACCUAGCUUGAAUCACCAACCAGUUGCCCAAUUAAAGUUAUGAUAUGACUUGCCAGAUUUACAGAUGUACUAUAAGAACAAAAUAGAUAUUAGUUAAAAAUAAUAAACUUAACUUAAUUUCUUAAGAUUUUUUCAGUUUUUAGUUUUCUAAUUUUAAUAUUUUUAAUUAUUUUAAUUUAUAGUAUUAGAUUAGGUUGGUCUAUGAACAUUUUCUUAUUUUUUUAAAAAAAAUCCUAUGCUAAUCUAGUAAUUAAUCAGCGUUCUAUAAAGUUUAGAUAAAAGUAUGGAUUUGCUUAAAAAGUUGUAAACCAAGGGCUAGAAGAGGCCACAAAACUAUCGGCCACAAGUCCCAAGUGUAGAAGGAGAAAUGCAUUUUGUUUAUGUUUUUGUUUUUUAACAAACAAAAAACAUUACAACUUGAUGAAGGUCAAUAAUGUCAUGCUAAUUCAACACAGUCAAAAACUAUUGAAGUAUAUCCCCGUCCUUGUUUUUAAAAUAUCUUCACUAAAUAGACGGAUAUUAUGUUAAUAUGUUUUUAUUUAGUUGCAUGUUAAUAUUUGUAGGGAAAGAUUUUAUUUAACAGUUAGAUUUUUUAUUAUAUUAAUUGUCAAAAGAAGAAAGUAUUUGAAAUAUUUUUUUUAAACACCAUAAAUAUUUUUAACAGAAACAAUUAUGUUCUAGCCGUGAAAGAUCAUUAUGGGCAAAUCCUUCCUCCACUUUUUUACAAGAUUUUUUUUUUUAAUUUGUUAAUACGAGGGUACAAAUUUGUUAAAAAAAUUUCUUAAGAUACCAGGGUCUAGAAGAAUCGAGGGUUCUUUCGAGUUGGUAUUUUGUUAUGUUUUUUGCCCAUUGCUUUUAGGCUCUUAAUUGAGUGUUGUUUUGAAGAGGACGCAAGGAUAAUGAAAGGUAGUCUGCUUAAGGAGGCAAUAUUAAAGACAAUAGUUUCACCAAUUUGACAAAGAGACAGAGAUAAUGCCAAUGUUCCAAAAAUAAAUAUAUAAAUAUGAUGCACCUUGCACACACAAAAGGUAAGAAAAGAUUAUGCACUUAACUUGUACCAACUAUCACUGCGACUGUUUUGGUUCCUAGAUCUUGAAAAUCAUAUUAGAAAAUAUUCUAACAACUUUGAAAGAAAACCCUAAAAUUAAAGAUUUGAAAAUUGAAAAAGAAACCACUUCUCCAUUUUAGGAUAAUAUUAACCAAUUACUCAACCGCUUCAUCUAAGAAUUAGGGGUGUUUUGAUGCCAACGAUCCCAAAAAUUAGUCAUGCCGUAAUUUUAUUAUAAUUCUAAAUUCUAACUAGAUACUGUUAGAAUUUUUUUUAGUGGUGGAGAUUCUAUAUUAAUUAGUGAUAUGAUCAAAUUAAUAUAUACAGGAGUUUUAAAUGUUGGAUUCAACCAGAGAAAUAUGAGUGUAAAUUAAAAUUAGAAAUCAUGGUACAAUCGAAACAAUAAAAUAAACAUUAUUACAAUAAAAAUGAAUAAUAAUAUUUAACGUGAAAAGUUCUCCAAUACCCAAAGAAAAAUCACAAAACAAACUCCAAAAAAUAUCACACUGUAUUAAAGAAUAUUACAAUAUUUUUCUCUACUCUUUUUCACAAAUAAGAAAUACAAUAUAGUGUUUCUUGUGAGACUUGCUCCUAUUCAAAUACUAUAUUUUUAUAGUACCAAAAAACUAUAGAAUUGAUUCCCACCUUGUUGUAUUUUUCCCACACUAUUAGAAUUUUCUCAACAUUCUAUUUUUCCUCUCACUAUUUUCUCACAACUAUCCAGAAAAUUUACUUUGCUUCUACUCAAUACAUUCCUGCAUUUGCAAAAUCCUCUAGUUAUAGAACAAUUUGCUAAGCUUUUCAACAAAGCUUGCACCGUAAAAAUGUUUUUCAUACCUUUCAAAAUUAAUUGCGCCUCUAGCUAUAACUUUAAGUAGGGCUAGUGUUUUUUUUUUCAAAGAGGCAUGUAGUGCAUUAAAUGCAUGGUGGACUUUGGUUGGACAUAACACUAACCUUAUAAGUUACAUUUAUAAAAUUGAAUUAAAUAUUAACCCAAAAUUCUGAGAGAAUAUAAGAGUCUAUUCUAACAAUUAUUGUUAAGUCUAUUGAAUUAGUCACUAUCAAAUCAUUAUUGAACCAUUGAUAAAUAUUAAGUUUUUUCAAUCCUCAAAGUGAGGAGAGUAUUGAAAAUUCUGUAUUAAUCAAUAAUAUGAUCAAGAUAGAGUUUUAGAAGUUGUUCUCACCAAAUCUUUAUCAAAUUGGGGUUGAAGUAUAACUUGUAAAAGGUGUGUAAUGACUUAAUGAAUUAAAAUUUGAUUUUUUUAGUUUAUGAUUAUUUUCUAAUAAUUUGUUUUCAUUUCAACCUUUUUUCUUACAUAAAAAUUGUUUUUUUAAUCCAAGGUAGAGAUUCUAGCUUAGCAUUUGUUGUCUAAUCCAAUAAAAUGUACCUCAACCAACAUAAAAGCUAUUAAUCAUCACAAGACACGUAAAGAUAACAUUUUGAAGACUUUUGUCCAUAAUCACCUGAGCUUGAUUAAGACAAGAGCAUUACUAAAAUUCUAUUGACAAGAAGAUUAUAUCUUUUUGUUAUUUUAAAAAUAUUUUCUUAUCAUAUCCAUUAUGAAGUGUGUGUUUGAUUUUGUGUUUGAAAUCAUCAAACUUGAAUCUAAAGUCGAUCAAAUUUAAUUAUGACUUUAUUUAAUAUGUUUGUCACUUUUAUGUUAAUGUGAUUAAGUGGAACAAAUUUGAGUCUUUAUUAAUAUUACUUUGAAUAACUUUUGCAUUGGAUCAAAAUGUUUAUACUGAUUUUUCCUUUUAAUUUGAUUUCAUAAUAAAAAUAUCAAAAUAUAAAUCAUAUCACUUUAAAAUUAAUUUGAUUUAAAAUUAAUUUUAUCAACACUCAUUUAAAUAUGCAGGAACUGUAAAUGUGACUAAAAAAAUAACAUAAUAAUCAUAAAUAGUAAGCAAUUAAGAUUUCAAUGUAAUUGAAAUAAACCUCUAUUAUAAUCAUAUCUACCAACAUCUCUAAAUAAGGUCUAAGCACACUAUUUUCUCCCUUAAAUUAUCAUCCAUCUGCCAUUUUUUUUUUUUCCUGAUGUAGGCAUCGAAAUAUUAAUAUUUUCUUACAAGAAUCUUCUCCAACAACCAAAGACUCAGUGUCUUAACACAAUUCAAAGUAUCCUACCAAUACCAUGAAUCAGUUGAUCAAUCACCACGUUAACAGGGAGAGGCAAAGCAUCAUGGUUGUCCACAAAUUAGCCACUACAAUACCGACAAACAAAUUUUAAAAUAUUUUAUUAUCGCCAGAUUCUAGACGCCUUUUGGCAUUAAACUCUAAUUACUAACACCAUUAAGUUAACGAAAAUAAUUUAUCAUAGUUACCAGAUGUCAAACUAUGACUAGUGCUAGUGCCAUUUUUAAAUCCCACGUCAUAAUUGUGCACACUAUAAUCUUCGCAAUUUACAUAUUUCCAUGUUUCCAUUUUUUUUAAUUCUUAUUUUUAUUUCCAAUAACGUAAUUUACUCUCAUAUAAAUAAACAUUCUAUGAAAAUUUCCUGAGUCUGACUCUGAGAUCAUCAUCAUCAUCCUCACUUCCGGAUCAGCGGAAAAAUAAACAAUAAUUUUUUGUUUUCACCACUUGAAAUUUGCGAUCUUGGAUUUCAGAAGAAAAAAAAUCCUACAGGGGCCAAUCAGAAACCCUAGAUUCAUAAAAGGGAGAUUUUGUUUUCAGUGUAAUAUAACCGUAUUUCAGUUGAUUUUUCAGGAAGCGCGAGUUUCAGUUGAUUUUUUAUUCUGUUAUUUUGGGGAUCUCGAAUACCGAGAAAGAAAUCAAAUUUUGUUUUGUUGUUUAUCAUUGUUUGUUUUUCCCAUUGUUGGAGUUGGGGGUGUGAGAGUGUGGGAUUGGUGAGGGUGCAAUUGGGAAUUGGUGUGAGGAAUGAGAGGAGGGGCAUAAAUGUCUGCUCCAUUGGGUAUUGGAAUUCGUUCUGGAAGUUAUGGGUCUUUGGAUAAACAGGUACAUCAGAACGGGACUGCACGGAAGGCUUCAAAGAUGCUCAAGGAGAAGGAGAAGGAGAGGCUGUUCCUUUGGAUCUGCAAGUUCGCCGGCCGCAAGAAGGUCGGAAUGCUCUUCCUCUGCCUCAUCUCCGCCGCGGUUUUCAUCUGGGUUUUGUAUGUUGGAAAAGGUUCCUCCUCACUUUCUCUCCUUCCAUUUGUUUGUCUAUGGUUACUGUGCUAAACUUUAAUUAUGUGAUUGCAUUAAGUGUUAUGUUAUAAUUUGAGCACGAAUGGGAGUUGGGUUUAGCAGAAAGGACUAGUUUCCGCAUGUGGUGAAUCAAGGUUCAAAUAAUGGCUGUUAGAAGAGGUGUCUAGUGUCUGACGGUGCAUCGAACAGGAUUGCCUCUGAUGGAAGGAUAACUAGGAGGGAUUACAAUAGUUAGAAGAGGUGUCUAGUGUCUGAUAGUGCAUCUGGAUUGUCUCAGAUGGAAGGAUAACUAGGAGGGAUUACAAUAGUUAGAAGAGGUACCAAGGUUCGGAUAUAUUUUAGAAGAGGUGGCUAGUUCUGAUAGUGUAUCAAACAGAAUUGCCUCUAAAGGGGAUAUCCAGUAGGGGGGGGUUUGGAUUACAAUUUGAGCUUUUGUGUUUUUAGUGUUAAUAUGCCGUUGUUAUCUAGUUCUUUUGAUUGGCUCAACCGGGUAUGCUAGAAUGUGCUGUGAGUUGUGAUUUACAACUGUUGUUUGGUUUCUACCUUAAUUAGAACAUAGCAUGAUGUUCGUGGUGUGGCUUGCUUUCAGCUGAAGAUUCUCAGGACGGAAACACUGUGUCAAGCAUUAAUGUUAAUGAAAGUGUAUCUGCAAGUGAUUCUACAUCUGAGAACUCAACGACAAAUGCAAUGGGCUUAACUAAGAGAUCGGUAUUACCCCCUCCACCCGCGGGUUAUUUUUUGGGCUACCGUCUUCCUCCAGGGCAUCCGUGUAAUAGCUUCACACUCCCUCCCCCACCUGCUGAUAAAAAGCGUACUGGGCCACGUCGUAAGUUUUAGUUUACUAUUUUGCUGGAUAAGAUAUCUUUCUUAUACACUAUUUGACACUUAAUAAUUUGGAAUAGUUCCCAUCAUCCAUGCAUAUAUCAAUUAGUUCUUGGAAGUUGUGAUUCAUGACUGUAUGUAGGGCAUGAGAUAUAUUUUAGAUUGCGUAAUGUGUAUGGUGUUUCUACUUUGUACUGAAUAUUCGGGUUGUUUUAUUUUUUAGCAUGCCCGGUGUGUUACCUUCCUGUGGAAGAAGCCAUUGGACUGAUGCCAGCCUUGCCCUCACCUUCACCAGUCCUUGGGAAUUUAACAUAUGUCUAUGAAGAAAAUUUAAGUAGAGAUGGAGAAUUUGGUGGUUCAGACUUUGGAGGGUAUCCUACUUUGAAGCAGAGAAAUGAUUCUUUUGAUAUACGAGAGUCGAUGAGUGUGCACUGUGGGUAUGUUUUGCUUUUUGUUGAAUGUUUCCCUUACUUAUAAGUUACAUCUAUACCCACUGAGGAAUGUUCUUUGUGGUUAUAAUUGUCCGUGCUAGUAAUUAAGCAUUCUUGUACCUUUUUACUGACAUGAAUUCAUUCUCCAUCUUCAAUAAUGAAUGUGUAUACCAAUCAGAUUUGUUAGAGGAAUUAAACCUGGUCGCAACACAGGAUUUGACAUUGAUGAAGCUGACCAUUUUGAAAUGGAGCAGUGUAAUGGAGUGGUUGUUGCAUCAGCCAUAUUUGGUCUGUAUUAUGUGAUUUCUUCAUUUGUUUACUUGUUUAUAAGCUUGUAAUUGAUUGUAUAUCAAAUUUAUUGUUCAGGAAACUUUGACGAGAUAAAUGAGCCAAACAAUAUAAGUGAUUAUUCGAGGAAGACUGUAUGCUUCCUUAUGUUUGUUGAUGAAGAAACAGAAAAAUAUCUGAUUAGUUCUGGCAAAUUGGGAAUCAGCAAGAAAAUUGGUUUAUGGAGAAUUAUUGUUGCUCGUAAUCUUCCUUACCCAGAUGCAAGACGGACAGGAAAGGUCAGAAUUACAUAUUUGACCCGAACCAUUGUGACUGAAAUAGAAAUUAGCAUAUGGGAUGCUAGCCAUUUUUGUUACUGAAACAUUUUUUGCUAUGUGGUUCUUAUGAUCUGAAUGUUGCUGUAGAAAAGUAAUAUUGUUUGGCUGCGGUUUCAUCUUUCUGUAAUCUACCAUGUCAAGGUUAAUAUUGCCGUACUGAUUUGUCCUCAAUACACAGAAAGGGGACACGAAAAUGCUAUGUAUGAAUUGAAUAAAAUUAAACUUUUGCCUAGGUGCUGAUGUGUUUUCUCAUUCCUAAAGUAGUACUUUGCAUACUCUGUAACUUUUACUACCUUUUCCACAGAUUCCAAAGCUUCUGUUGCAUAGAUUGGUUCCGAAUGCUCGCUAUUCUAUAUGGCUUGAUGGGAAGCUUGAGCUUGUUGUGGAUCCAUAUCAAAUUCUUGAAAGGUAUACUCCGGUGAAUCUCUUUGAUACUGCAUAUAAUAUACCACUAUACAUAUUCAUUCUAUAUGCUAAAGGGAUGUAAAUAUUCUCAUUUCAGUACUAUGCUUUGUUUUAUAUGUAGUUUAGCAUGUGGUUUACUGUUCUAUCCACUUCUGUAUGAGAUAGAUAUGAUGUCCCUGCUAUUUGGCUUUAAGACUCAUUACAUGUUUUCAAACUAGAUCCACCGCUAGAUGAGGUGAUAAGAGUUUGAUGUUUGUCAGUAUGCAUCCCUUGCUUUAACUAGAUUGGUUAUUCAUGUAGUUUGCUACGUGUCACACUUGCUCUGUAAGUCUAUAUACUAAUAUUCUCUUCACAAUGUGUAUGAUUUGUUCUCCAAGAUUGAAGGUGCAACUCACACAUAUCUCCAUAUUAUAUGCUUGUUGCUCCAUAAAUAUCUUUCUCUGAUAACAUGGAAAUUCUUGAAGUCCAAGUAUGGAAUUUCUUUCCUGCCCUAGCUGAAGGUGACAUAUUAAUCUAUCUAGACACAAAGUCCCUUCAGAUUGUCUAAAGAUUAUGUCUUCAGUGUAGUUGCGAGUUUUCAAAGAAAACAAAUGAAUGUUCUUACCACAGAGCUUUCUGCCUUGAAAUGAUUGCCAAUACUCAAGCUGUAGAUUUCCUUAGUUUUCUACUAUUGUGUGUUGCUGAGUAGAUUGCUAACCAAUGAUAAAAUAGACUUUUCAGAGUAUAGCAGUGGAAAGUGAGGAUAACUUACUCAUCAACUAGAUUAAACUCUACUCUAGUUCCACUUUCAGUUAAUCCCCGAUAGACUGCUAGUUUAACUUUUAAGAACCUUACAAAACAAGCCCUAUAGUUUAUUGCACUUGGGACUCAACGUUUUCAGCAGCAUGGGCCCAGAAACACCUGAUGCACCAAUUCAAUCUCCAUGUGCUUUUUUGGAAUGAGAAAGUAGGGAAACAAAAAAAAGGAGAGUAAGAAGUCCUCUAAGAAUAAACCAAAAGAAAAGAAACAAUAGCUCUGUAUAGCUCUUACAUGUGACUCAUUUUCCUUCCUCCCAAACUUCCCAUCUGUUCUGCAUGGCAUGCCUGCUUGCAUGUCCCAAAAUACCAUUUAUGACAGCUUGGUGUAAAAUUGUUUGUCUUGGGGGCUACAGAGGUAUGGUAACAUAGAGACUGGAAGCCUGUGAUUACUGGCUAGAAAACAAUACAUGCUGUAGAUAAGAUUGGAUCAGAAGUCUUGAUCUCUACCUCUGUUUUGUUGAUAUUAGGAUAAUUAUCAUCUUGUGGUGUAGGUAUCUCUUCAAAUUGAUAAUUCUCUGACAUUAAAGCUCAUUGAGGGUUGGCAUAAAUGGAGUUUUCAGUUAUGGAAAAGUUGAAAGUGAAUUUGUCUCUGAAGCAUACAAGUAAGGGUAUAUCCACUCUCAAUUCAAUUUAAAAUACAUUGUGAUCAUAACUCACUUAAAUACAAUGGUGGAUAUACCCUUCUUUGAGCACGAAAAAAUAAGCUUACUUGAGAGAAGCCUUGUCCAUCAAUUAUCUCCUUUAUUGCCUUGCCUCUAGGAAAUAUUUAUAGGCUUGUAGCAUUAAUAUUACUUAUAUGCAAGUACUAGAAUCUUGUCAAAUGCCUACCUCAGCUCAUAGGACUGUCAUUUAGAGGUUGUGUAAUUGAAAUGUUAACAGCUUUGAUGCUUUCAUUUUUUAUUUAGUUGUUUUUUACUGCACAAUAUUGUUGAUUUUGAAAUUGGUUUUGUUUGAUUCUUAUCUACCCUCCAUUCUAUGCUGAAUUUACCUUCCAUUUUGAGUGACUUUCCAAGGUGUAACAAUUUCUUCAUAGAUGAACAAGAUACUGAUAAUACAUAACUGUAUUUUUUCUAUGAAAAUGAAGCUUUAGAUUUUACUGGAUUUAUAUGUAUGUUAAUCUGUAGUGUACCAAAUUAUAAUUAAUUUGAGGUCAUAUUUCAUACCUAUGCUCUUUCUGACUUUUUACAAGCUAUAUUUUUGCUUUGCCUAUCCAUAAACCCAUAAUACAUGUUUUGACACCUAAACUCCCUUCACACUUAUCUAGGUUUUUGUGGAGAAAGAAUGCUACUUUUGCAAUAUCAAAACAUUAUAGACGCUUUGAUGUAUUCAUUGAGGCUGAGGCAAAUAAAGCUGCUGGAAAGUAUGAAAAUGCCUCUAUUGACUUUCAGAUAGAGUUUUACAAGAAUGAGGGAUUGACACCAUACACAGAGGCUAAGCUUCCUCUUAUAAGUGGUAGGUAGAACUGCCUUCCUGUAUUUAUCUAGGAUGAGUUGCACCUGUUUCAUUGUUUUUUUAAAAACUUGUUUCAAAUGCUGCAGAUGUUCCUGAAGGAUGUGUGAUAGUACGAGAGCAUGUUCCUAUUAGCAACCUCUUUACUUGUCUUUGGUUCAAUGAAGUUGACCGAUUUACUUCAAGGGACCAGAUUAGUUUCUCAACCGUCAGGGACAAAAUUUUGUCGAGGGUAGAUUUUCAUUUUAACAUGUUCUUGGAUUGUGAGAGACGCAACUUUGUUGUUCAGGUAACUAUUAAAAUUGUUUCAAUAUCUGACUGAAACUUUCUAUUGCAUUGAUUUCCAGAAGGUACAUGCUGAUUCUGAACAGACAAAACAUUUAGUAGUGCAAUAAAGAUGAGCACAUGCAUGUGCAUGAUUCUGAAAAUAAAGAUUUGCACAUGCAUGUGUGCACUCUUUAGUAAGCAACUAAUGUGAUAACAUUUUCCAUAUUGAUGAUUACCCUUUUAUAUUUUCAGAGAUAAACCCCCUCUUUCCGUUUCAUUAUUUUUCUCUGUUUCUCUAAAUGUUUUCACACUUAGAUAUGAACUUACCCUUAUUUCACUAUUUAAGUACUUGAAUUAUUUUUUACAUUGCUUGGGGAGGAUAUGACCUAUUCCAUCAUUAGUUUUAUGAUAAUAGCAUUUGCUUUAGUUCACAAAAUUUGUGUUAUGAAAAGUGUACUACAACCACCUUGGCUGGGAAUUUGCUGAAAACCUUGUCUCAAGGGUUAUUGUUUCUUACUUAUUCUGAAUGUUAUAUUUUUUAUCUGAACUUCCUUCAUUGGCAAUGGAAUUUCAUGGUCACUUUUCUCUCUUGUUUACCUUAUUAUACUCUAUUUUUGGGUGCUUACAGAAAUACCACAGGGAUCUAUUGCUGCGCCUGGCUCCACCAGCUUCACCUCCUCCACCAUCUCCUCCUCCUCCUCCUCCAUUGCCUGUGCUUGAAACAUCACCUGAAAAGGGUGCAAACUCUCCCAUUAGAAGAGGCCCUGGAAGGCGUGGAAGAGAUCGAAGAGCUGGUUCACGGCACCACCGCAAAGUUGUUGCUGGAAGCAGAGAGAUGGAACCAAGUUAACAGUUUUGUUUGGGCGAGAUUAUAUUAUUAGUAGUUUUGUUUAAAAUUCCACCUACGGAAAUCAUUCGUUGCAGAGCUGGAGGGAAAAUGUGCAAGAUGAGUGUUGUAUUGUUUCCACAUAUAGACGCUCUCAUUCUUUUGACUAUCCGCAAUUGUCCAUUUUUGUUAAAUUUUUUGCUGUAUAUAUGGUAAUAUUUUCAAUAAUUAUACGUAGCAACUCAUUUUGCCAUUCCGCAAUAUUACAGAAAAAAGUGUACUUCCUCUGUUAUACUAUACUCCAAAGAUAUAUUCAAGACGGGUUAGUCUCCAUUAGGAGAGUGAAAAAUACAAGGUGUAUGUAGGACCCACCUGAAUUAUUUUUGGUGUAUAAUGGUCGAGUUUGAACUUAAGAUCUUGUGGGUGUUAUCUCAAACCUCUAUCACUAAGUCGACUGUAAUAGUUAUCACCUGAUUCUAUUUAGUGGAGAGGAUCUCUACUCAUUCAAGACUUGUUCAUUUCUAUUAAUAGAAGUAACUUUUUUACAUUAAUAGAUUUCUUGACAUAUUAAUGGCUAAUAACUGGUGUAGAAGUCUCUCUUUCACUAAAUUAAUGGUUUAUUAAGAAAUUCUAAAAUUAUAGAAGGCCUGUUCACUUUACUCCAUGAAAAUAAAAGAAACAAGAAUCCCAUAACAAAAUCACAUUGUUCUAACAUACAUGUCAACAUUUUAUCACUCCUUUAACAUGUCAAGAAUGAAAAUAGUUGAAGUUCUAUAAUUUCAAAAGAAUAAUGUUUUAUUUUACAAAUCUCAUGGAGUAAAGUGAACGAGCCCUACCUUUAACAUUCUUCUUCCUCUUCUUUUUUCUCCAUGCAGCCUAUCAUUCCCUCCUUAUGAGAUCACCCAUCGCCGUCUCUCCUUUCUUUUCCUCUUAAACAUCCUUUCCUGCGAAAGAUAAAUUCUGAUAGUAGAUGAGAUCAUGUGAAAAACUAUGUUCAACACUAAAACUUGCACUUCAAUUCUUAAUAUCAAACAUUGUUACAUAAAUAAUUACAUAACAAAUCUGUCUUUUUUUAUUGCAUAAAAAGGGAAUAUAAAUUUAACAAAAACAUACAUUUCACACUUUCUUCCAUCUAAUAAAUCACCAAUUUCUUUUAUUUAAAUAAUAAAAGAAAAAAUAUUUUUUUUUCUCUUAAUUGUAUCUUCAAUUCAUUUUUUCCGAACAUUUUCUCUAGUCGUAUUUCCUAUAACUUACAAGUGAGUAACCACUGAGGGUGUGUUUAUUUUACCGUUUCAAUCUAUUAUUAGCAUGUACUUUGAUGCACUUUUUUUAGAAUCGUAACCGUAGGUUUGAAGCUUAUUGAACGGAAAAAUAAAUACUACACACUAACACUUAGGUUAUGUUGGUCUUAGAGGAAAGAAAUGUGGUGAAAGUGAUUGCACCAAUGGAAACGAACGAAAGAAAUCGUUUUAGUAGAAAGUUAUAUAGAAAUUUGUAUAAAAUCCGUGGGAUCCAUGCUUUUAGAUUUCUGCACUAAACUGAGAAGAAAUGCGAAGAAAGAAUAAAAUAAAAACGUUAAAAUGUUUCCAAAACUAACCCUCUAAGCUAGGAGCACUUUUUUAAUUCAUCAGGCAUGGAACAAAAUCAAAUAUAGCGCGGACAAAUUCAAAUAUGGGAAUAUGCCUAGCAUAAUAUAAAAUUGAAUAUGCCUAUGCCUAGUAAAAUUUAAUUUCCAUACAGCAUCCAAUUUGAUGGCAGUAAAAAUCGAUUAUAUAUAUAUAUAUAUAUAUAUAUAUAAUCUAAUAUUAGUUAAUGUAAUAAAAAAUAUUUAUUUUAAAAAAAGCAAAAUAAUUUUAAAAAUAAUAUUAAAACAGAAAAAACAUAAAUAUAAUUAAAAUUUCACAAAUACUUUACUUAUAAAUUUGAUUAUCCAGUAAUUUAAUUUAUGAAUUUUUCUUCCUAUUUCAUAAGAUCGUAGAAUGUUGAUCAACAUUCAAUUGUUAUAAGGAAUCAAUAUUGUACUUUUAUAAAAUAAGAAAACCAUAAAUUAAAUUAUUAGAAGACUAAAUUUAAAAUUAAAAAUAAAUUAAAAGAUGAGAUGUAUAAUUUUACCUUGAUUUUAUUAUCUACCAAGUCGUGAGUUUCUUUCCUCUCAUCUCAUCUCUCCCUUUCAUCUCUAUCCCAAAUUUUAAUUUUCCACUCUCUUUGAUAUCUUUUUCUUUUCUUUCAUCACAACAAACGAACAGUGUUACCAUCCAGAAAACACAAUACGACGUCGAUAAGAAAAACGAACCCUAUCAUCGCCAUUGGAAUUUGGAAGCUACGAAGUAGGAACCAUGACAGCGCUGGUGAGAAGUGGAGUGAUGAAGCUCACUCUCCAAUUCCAAACCCCUUCUCCUUCUCUGUCUCUCUUCUCUUCUUCUCUCUCCAUUACCAAAACACCAUCACCACCCUCUUUCUUCUCCUUCCGCCACCCUCUUUCCCAUUCGAGCAACGCUUCCAAAACCCCCACCACCAACCCUCUUCCUUCUUCUUCCUUUGAAUCCCAGCUAUUCAUCCCUCCGGGCAUUGAACCCGACGAGGUCGACGACUCCACGGUCCUUCCCGGCUCCAACAUCGCCGUCGGACCCUACGCCGGCGAUUCCCGAAUCAAGGACGUCCAGUUCGUCAAGAGCAGCGCCCGCGCCAGGGAUUGCCCCAAAGACGACCUACCCGAAUUCGCCGUUCUCGGUCGCUCCAACGUCGGCAAAUCCUCCCUCAUCAAUUCCCUCGUCCGCAAGAAAGAGAUUGCUCUCACUUCCAAGAAACCAGGUUAGUCAGUUAGGUUAAGCUUCUUUUAGGAGAUAUAAGGUUCGUCUAGUGUUGAAGAGAGGUCGCCAACAGUCUAUAACCAACGGUCUAAGAUGUAAUAAUGUUGUGCUGAUUUUUGGUAAUGGUGGUUGCAGGGAAGACGCAGCUCAUCAAUCACUUCUUGGUCAACAAAAGCUGGUACCUUGUUGACUUGCCUGGUUACGGGUCAGUCUCUAUUUCUUAAUUUUUUCUGCUUCAUGUCUUCUUGUUCCUAUGCUUCUUUAUUAUAUAUAAAAAAGAUUUUAAAUUUAUAAAAGUAAUAAGUAGUUAUAUUCACAAAUUAAAAUGCUCUUGCUGCAUUUGUUUGGCUGAUCGUUUUGCACAAUUGGUUUUGGUUAAUGGAGAGUUUAAAGUUAAUGUUUUCAAGUUUUUAUCAUAUAAGCAGAAUUGUAGUAUGAGAUUUUCAAGUCGACGUAAGAGUUACAUUUUUCACUUUUUGUCAAACGUGCUUUCUGUAGUAAAGUUAAGUGCAUCUUUGGAUUCACAUUUUUAAAAUCAAGUUGAAAUACCAGUUAACAUGACUUUAGGUACAAAAUAUCCUAAAUUGAGGAAUUGAUUUUGACUUAAAAUAACUUUAAGCAGUUUUUGCAUUGGGUUCAAAAUCUUAUAGUUUAUGUAUAGUUUUACCACUACAACAACAACAACAACAACGCCUUAUCCCACUAGGUGGGGUCGGCUACAUGGAUCAACUUCCGCCAUAAUGUUCUAUCAAGUACUAUAGUUUUACCACUAACUUGCUUAAUAAUAAAAACAUUCAAACAUAGGUCACUUUACUUCAAAACCAAUUUUGCGAACGUUCACCCACCCACACUAAUUUUAGUGAGAUGCAACCAAACAUUAUGUUUCGUUGCAGAAUCUCAGUGUUUGAAUGUCUCAAACGCAAAUACAAACAUAGCAUUAGUGAGAACAGCAUUGGGGGGAAAUAAAAAAUAUGACAUAAUACAUACUACAUGGAAAUGUAAUUUUUAUUAAAUCUCAAAAUUAUAUGGAUAGAUUCAUAUUGAGAGAGGUCUUCCGAUUCCCUAUUUGCUUAAUAAAGCUGGUUGAUGCAGGCCAUAGAUACCCUCUUUGGUUUUCAAGUUUCUCGAGUUGUUUAAUAAUAGUAGCAAUUAAUUUUUUUAAAUGCUUAGUAGCUGUGUUGUAUGUUUACUUGUAUCUCCCCAUUGUCGGGUUUCAUAUAUGUUUUCUUGAAUGAUUUUCUUCCCUGUAUUUCCACCUCCUUCCUGGAUUGGAGAGGAUUUGGGAUUAGUGGUUGGUGGUGAUACUGUUAAGUGUUUUAUCUACUCGUGAAAUACUGUUUUUUAUGCAGCUUUGCUAAAGCACCUGAAGCAGCAAAAACGGAUUGGUCCUCAUUCACAAAAGGGUACUUUUUGAACAGAAGUACUCUGGUUGCUGUCUUGCUUCUCAUUGAUGCAAGUGUUCCACCCCAAAAAGUUGACUUGGAUUGUGCAAAUUGGCUUGGACGCAAUAAUGUAUGAUGUUUUAUACAUAUAUAGUCCCUAAAGUAAUGUUGUCAAGGUACUGAAACAGGUCUAAAUCCUGUAAAAACUUUUGUGAAUUGCAGAUACCAAUCACUUUUGUUUUCACAAAAUGUGACAAAAUGAAGGUGGCAAAAGGGAAACGGCCCGAUGAGAACAUAAGGGAUUUUCAAGAGUUAAUCAGACAAAACUACAAGCAACAUCCUCCAUGGAUUAUGACCAGCAGUGUCACUGGAAUGGGUAGAGAUGAGCUUCUCUUGCAUAUGUCUCAGCUAAGAAACUACUGGGAUCAGUAGGAGAAAAAGCUCAAAAUUAAGCAAGAUGUGAGUAUCUAUGAGAAAACAGGCCAUGCGGGAUCAAAGUUGAAAUUACAAAAGAUGCAACUAUAUGGAAGAAUCAUGUGAAAGAGCUAUGGGUUGGGUUGAGCCUUGAAAUAUUUCAGCUGGAUCUUUCUUCAGGAUUCGGGAUCUUUGUUCUUCUUGAACUGCAACAAGAUAUAUAACUUGCAUGGGAAUCAAGUUUGAGUUGUUUCUGGAUAAUGAAUUUCCACAUACUGACACUGAGUAUUAGGGUUAAUGGUAACGUUUUAUGCAAAUGGGGAUAAAAAAUCACAGGAAAUGUUGUAUGCUUUCAACUGGGAUAUAGUAUUGUGCUAGCUUUAUUUAUCUUUAGUUGCCUGAAUACAUGUUUUGGGUUACCAUUGUAUUGGGUUCAGAUUGUCUUCAGUUACUGGAUUUUUCCCGUUGGAGGGACACACCCAUUGUGUCUUUCUCUCUCAUACUGGAAAAAUCCAGUACUGGAAAGGAGUACAAUCCCAUUGCUUUGGCAUUUAUUUAGGACUUUCUGGAGCAAAAAUGAUCUUUUUGCAUUAUGUAAACAUUGUAGAUGUUUUGAUGUAUUUUUUGAGGCUGGGAUAAAUAAUGCUGCGAAGUGUGCGCAUCUGAAUUGCCGUAGCAUUUAUUCCGAGGCACCUUCAACACAUAAGGGGUUCCUUCCUUUUGCCAACGUCCGGUUUCAUCGCCUGAUGCAAACGGUUACACAAACGCAUGAAAAAUGUUAGAAGGUUAUUCACCAUCUCAUUUGCAAACACCUUGUUAUCAUUACUAUUCCUCACAGCCACCACUGCCGAGAGCUUCAAGGUAGUGGACUCCUUAGAGAUAACCUCAUGACCCUCAUUGAGUGCUACCAUCAUGCUUGCUGAGGAACUACUUUGGUUCCCCUUCUUCUUCACUCUUAAGUUUCAUCUUAUUACCACUCCUACUCAGUGUCGAUGAGCACACUAAUGGAAUGGCCGAGACCAAGAAAUUGGCAAUUCAAAUGAAUUUUGUUGUGCAGCAUGCCAUUAAUAUUGCCAGAACUCGUGACCAUGAGAGUCUUUAUACCAGCCAUUUCUGUAUAGUGUAUACAAUUGUUAACCUUUAUAUCAGAAAACAAAAAAUGAUCUUGUGACACUGAAGGUGAUAACAUAAAUGAGAAGUUUUGAAGGGAUAUAAUGACUUAAAUAUGUUACAAAUUUAUAAUAAAUUAUCGAAUUUUUUAAAAUUUCUAAUAAAAAAAUUUGUUAUAUUAAUUUUUUGAUAUAUUAACUGAUCGGUGCAAAUUCAAAAUAAAAGUUUUAAUAGAGUAGAGAUUUAAUAUAACUAGAAAAUCUAUUAGAAAGGUAAAACAAAUAUCGAAUAUUUAUACGACACUAAAAAAUAUGUAAGUCAAUAUAGUAUUUAUAAAGGGUUUACAAAGAUCAAACAUUGUAUUAAGAAAAUUAAGCACAAUCACGAGUCACGCCACACGCCGACACCAAGGCCAUAAUUAAUCAUUUUCUAGUACGUUUACUAAAAUUUGUCCACGAAAAAUAUAUGGUGUGUGAAUCAGAUUUGUACUUGAACAACGAAAAUUAAACAUAGGUCUCUUGACUUUUUCUAGUAGUGAAAUUUAUCCUCGAAAUUUUGAAGACUAACUUCUACUAUAUGGUAAAAUACAGAUAAAUUUAAUAAUAUUAAUUGUGAAAAUUAUAUUUAUUCUUUGAAAAGAAUGUAAUAUUAUAAUAAGUAAUUUUUAUUAAAUUAAAUGAUUCUAUUAACAAAUAAAUAUUUAAAGAUGAGAUAUAAAAUUUAUUUUUGAUUAUAAGUUUUUUUCAAUCAAACAAGUAAGUUUAUAAUUUUCUACUGAUGAGAAAUUUGUCUAAUACUUAAUAUAUAUGGUGAUAAUAAUUUUGGUAAAAAUAUUCAUAGAUGAUUCUAAUUAUAUCACAUAAUGGUUGGCAUGAUAAUUUCUAAUUAGAUUUUAUAAUAUUAUUUUUUAUUUUAAAGUUAAUUUCGAUAAUGAUUAUACUUUGAUAGUAAUUUAAAGGAUAAAAACAUGAAUUUAUUAAAAAUGAGAAUAAAUACAUACAUGAUAGCCUUAUGAACAAUUAGUUAAUUUCGAUGUGCGAUAUUAUUGAUGUUUGAGGAAUUAAAUGAUAAUGAUUUAAUUUCUCAAAAAUUGACAAUGGUCUUAUUUAUGAAUUUCUAAUAUUAAUGGUUAAAUUCUAUAAUUUUGACACAUGUAUAAUAAUAAUUCUAAACACACAUAUCUAAUGUUAUGUGAUGUUUUCGUAUAAUUGUUUUUAUAAAAUAUAGAUAAGUCUCUUAAAUAUGUUAAUCAGGUUUUGAUUUCUAAAUAAGCAUAUGAAAAAUACUUUUAUCUUUUGAAUUUAUUUUGAAUUUUAGAUAACGUUAAUUUAAUUUAUAAGCUGAAUAAAGAAAAAGGGAUAAUGUUGCAAAAUACAGGAAGUUGCAAAUUGAGAUAAACAACAGCACAGUAAAAAUUUAAUACUUUUUUAUACUUUCAUCUCGCUUCAUUUUUUUAAUACUUUGAUAUUGAUUUAUUCUUAUCAGUAUAGCAUCAUCAUGACAUUUUUUAUUUACAUAAAAGAAACAUAGAAACAUGCUCUAAUUAAAAAUAAACAUGUUGAACAUUUUAUAGGUUGUUAACUGUUGCUGUCCUUUUUUUGUAAAAAGAAAAGAAAAAGAAAAACUGUUUCUAUCACGAUUAAGGUCAACAAUUAAUAGGUUGAUUUAUCAAAAUGGGUUAAAAACUUGAACUAAUUAAUGGAUUGGUCAAAAAAAUAUUUAUCAAAUGAAUAAUUUUUGCCACCUAAAAAAUAGGAGGCUCAACUCCGGUUAAUAUCUCUUUUUUUUUUUUUAAGGUAUUUAGUGCCAGCCGUCAAGUCAACACUAACUAUAUUUAGAGUCGGCUUCAAGAUAAAUAUAUAAUUAAUUAGGAAAAAAAUACAUAAUGUUAGAAACAAACAAUCUAAUAAUAGGAGUAUGUAUUUUUAUUUCUUUUAAUAACAAAGAAUGAAGUAAUAUGAGUAAGUAUUAAUAUAAUAUACUACAAAUUAUGAUAGAUAAAAAUCGUUAUAUUCUUUUUUUCCUUUGGUAAUUCUUUGUAUAUAUUAUUAGUCUAAUAUUGAGUGAAUGUUUUAGCUUUAAAAAAAAUAAAAAAUAUAUUUUUGAAACAAAAAAUUGUUUGAACCUCAAUCAUAUAUAAUAGUUUUUUAAAAUCUAACUGUACACAAUUCUUUCAAGUAUCCUAUGACACAUUUUUUAGGCUUCAUUUUAUUUAUAUUAUAUAUACAUAUAUUUGUGCUAUAAUAAAGGAAAUUUAUUUACUUAUAAUAUUAUUUUAUCUAAAAUAUCAUCAUCAUUAUUUUUUAUAUGUAAAAAUCAUGUUAAGAGAUUUACAACAACUCACAUGACACUCAAUCAAUUGAGUUAGACUCUUAUGAAAAAAUAUAUUAUUUUAUUAAAUAAAUAUAUUUUUUAAAAAAAUUAAAAUUAAAAUUAAAAGUGCAGUUAUAACAAUGUUUGCAUUAUUGUUUAACCUUUCAUUAUAUAAUUGUAUUUCAUUGUAAAUUUUGUAAUUAUAAUAUACUCUUUAUUUUGAGUGAAAAUGCCAUUAAAUAAAAUAUCAAACAUGAUAGAUCUUUUGAAGGUGGUGCUUGAGAAGCACAAGGUAACACUAAGGGUGACACCUCUACUUACUAGUGACAACAAUCAUAUAUUUUGAUAAAUAUUUUCUUGAUCAACCCAUUAUGAUAAUUUGUUUUCAUUUUUAACUCAUUUUAAUAAAAAAAGAUAAUUAAUGGCCUGACCUCAUAUGUAGUCUUUAGAUCAACACCUUCGCUAGUGUAUUUAUCAAUUGUCCCAACAAUGCUUUGGUCGAAAGUUUAAAAAGUGUCUCAUUUUAUUUAUUUAUUAUGACUUUUGUUGGAAAUGUUAGAAACUUAAAAAACUAUAACGAAAUUUUUUAAAAUUUAAUAUACUUUAAUGAUAUAAUUGUGAAAUAUAAUGAAUAAAAAUUGACAUUAAGUCAAAGUUGAAAGAAAACGAGUAUGAUAUUGCAUUCGCAUAGGUGACAUGGCUACUUUCACACGUUUUAUACACAAGUAAAUAAUAUUAUAUAUUUUUAAUUUAUUAUAGUCUUUGUUGUUAAAAAAAGUCGAUGUUUAAGAGAGUCCAUUGUUAUGCGGUAAGUAUAUAGUUUACAAAAGUCUAGUCUAUAUUUAUUUGUGAUCAAUAACAACAUAGCAAUAAAAUCCCCUAAAAAAAUAUAAUAAUAAAAUGAAAUCCUUUGGGUAGGAGAAAAUGUAAUAGAAAUUUUUAUAUAUUAAAAAAAUAUGAUACCAUGCAAGAUAUAUAUGAAAACCUUUGGGUAAGAGAAAAUGAAGUUCAAAUGUGUCUAUAUAUAUAUAUAUAUAUAUAUAUAUAUAUAUAUAUAUAUAUAUAUAUAUAUAUAUAUAUAUAUAUAUAUAUAUAUAUAAGAAACACGUUAUAGUUUAUUUUAAACAUGAACAAAUAUAAUAAAUUACAAGCAACAAUAGAAAAAGAUAAAUAUGAUAAAUUAUUUUGUAUAUAAUGAUAUGAUAUAAUUAAUCUAAUAAAGACAUGCAAAUAGAUCAAUGUAUUUUUUUAAUUUAAAAAAUAAAACUAAAAUUGGAAAAUAAAAUAAUUAAAAGAUUAAAUGAUAUUUUAAUCUUAUCCAACUAUAUAAUUAUUUUAAACUAAAAAAUAUAUAAAUGACGAUGAUACAUGACAAUAACACAACAAAAGAAUACAUAUGUUAUUCGCAUCCCCAUUUAAUAAAAUUGAAACAUAAAAAAAUAAAAUAAUUAAAAGAAAAAAAAUAUUUUAAUCUUAUCCAAAUAUUUAAAAUAAAUAUAUGAAAUGAUAUUUUUAUUUAAUUUGAUGAUAAAUAAGUAUAUUAUAAAAAAAACUUCUGAACAUGUAUUAAAAUUUGCCAAAUUUCGACUUCUCCUGACUGUUUAUUUUACUUUUACUCACUCAUUUUAACUCCCAACCAAACAAAUUCUAAUGGCACCAAAUUUCAUGUAGACAAGUUUUCGAUUUUCAGUAAUAUCAAUAAUGGAGGACAUGAUAAUAAUAGAGAAAAAUGUUUAUGCUCUCAUAAUAUAAAAUAAUUUCACACACAAACGGUUUUAUGAUUGUAUUUAAUGUUGUAAAAAAUCGGUGUCAAUUUAAUUGAUUCACUUAAAGUUAGCUUGCUUUUAAAUUAGAUAAAAUUAGUUUUAAAUUAUUGAAUGUAAUUGAAAUAUGUGAUAAGAUUAAUCUUAAUUAGAAUUUUUUUCUUUAUUAAAAAAAGUAUGAAAAUUAAUUUUUCUGCUAUAAAAUAAAUAGGUACAUGUGCGUCCUUAUAUUUAGCACUAAUAAUUUUUUAUAUAUAGUUUUAGUGUUUUGGGUGAAAUCGGGCAUUCUUUGGCUGUGAAUCAAUGAUUAAUUUCAUGAAAUACUAAAAUCUAUAUUUAUAGGAUUGAUCUCUUUUAGUCAUGUUUUUUUCAUAUGCAUAGACUAUAAUUGAAUCCUCACCACAAUCUUUAAGUGGCAAUGCUAUUUGUCAACUAUGUUACAUUAUCUUUGGCAUGUAAGUUUAGUGCUGUCUGUUCUUCCGUUUAGUUUAUAAUAAAUAAUCAAAUUCGCCUCUAAAUGUGUAAGGUGUUGAGAAAUUAAUUUAUAAAAGAAAAAAAAUUUAAAUUUAUUUUUUAAAUGAAUAAAAAGUAUGACAAAUUAAUCUUGUAAUAAUUUAAUGAGAGAUUAGUUUAUAAAUUUUAUAACUUAAUAUUAAAUUAGUCAUCAAAAUAUAUAAAUUAUUAUUAAAUUAAUCUUUAAAUAUUAAAACUUAAUAAUAAAAUAAUUUUAUAAUAGGACUAAUUUUUUUAUUUUUUAAGAAUCAAUUUAUCUCUCAUGUCAAACUUUGGGAAACAAAUUUGAUUAUUUAGACUAUAAUUUUAUUCUGUGGUCCGCAAGAGAGUUUUUGUUUUGUCGGCUUGAAUGGUGUUGGGCCCAAGAGAGCGAGUCACAUCAUCUUAUGGGCUUGCAUUUCAUGCUUAGUGGGCUGAGGCAGUGCAGGUGUAGUUGCUGUUUGAGGGAUCAAAACAAAAACCUAGUUUUUAGACACUGCAACACCAGCAUCCAUGGCAAGUAGGAGGUGUCUGCGAGCGUUAACGCAAAAAACGACACCGUUUCUCUUCCGAAACGCAUCCUCUCUCCGCUCACUCACCGUGCCUCCGUUUCCCAACGCCAACGCUUCUUCCCCCGUUUUCACCGUACGCGCCUCUGUCUUCGCGCAAUGGCCCCACCUCCGCUAUUUCUCUUCCGAGAAAAAAGACGACCACAGCGACGAAGACGAUGAUGGCGAUGAGGAUUACGAUGAUGAAGAAGAGGAUUAUGUUGAUGACGACGACGAUGAUGACGUCCCUGUGUCGAGAGGGAAAAAAGUGUACACUGCGGAGGAGAAGGAAGCGGAAGCCGCGGCAAUUGGGUACAGAGUAGUGGGUCCCCUUCAAAAGGACGAAGAUAGCGUUUUUAAGCCUUACGAGCCUGUUUUUGCUGUUGUUCAGGUUCCAAUUUUCAAACUUUAUUCUUUUUAAAAAAUAAUUUUUGAUUUUUUUAAUAUUAUUUUAAAACUUGUUUGAUUAAACUUUUUUGUAGUUUUUUUCAAUACCCGCAAGUGUGCCUGUGUCCACAAAUCAACCAUGUUUGAUAAAACAAAUAACCCUCUUUAAGAAAAUAGUUUAAAUUCAUGUGCAUAUUAAAAGUGAGAAUGAGAACUUCUUUGGGUUAUUUCUGUUUUUUGCUUUUUAAAGCACUUGUUUAGAAAAUAAUUUUCAAGACUUGAUAGAUUUUGAUUAAGAAAUUAGGCAUGAAAUUGCUAUGAAGGACAGACUCUGAAAUGUACACGGACACUUGGACAUGGCCAAUGUCCAAAAUAUAGGACACGGGACAACGCGAACACAAUACACACAUAAACAAAGAUUCUAAUUAAAUGAAAUAUGAGUAACAUAUAACAAAAUAUCUAAAUUGAUGGUACAUUUAUCUUUUUAAACCAACUUUUUUUUUCAAUUUUUUAGUUGUGGAAAAGUGACAACUUAAGUGUUCUAGUUAACAAAAAUAAUUUUUAAGUUAGACACCUAAUAAGAAGCGUUGAACAAGUGUUCAGGUGUGUCGAUGUUGAAAACACGUCCCACAAGGCGAUACUUUGAAUAGAGGUGUCUGUGCUUCAUAGUGAAAUUGUUUUAGAAAACUGUUUUAAAAACUAAAAAGUUGAAAGAGAAUCAGAUUUCGGCUUUAGUGAUUGUUUGUGUUGCUUUUUUUGUUGGUUCAGAUUGGUUCGCACCAGUUUAAAGUAAGCAACCGAGACAGCAUUUUCACUGAAAGAUUGAAGUUUUGUGAAGUGAAUGACAAGGUGAAUGUCUCUUUUACUAGAAGAUCCUAACUCUUGUAUGUGCUAACAUGUGCAACAAUUGUUAAAGUACAGUUGCUUCUUACCAUUUUGAUAGUUCUACAAACUACUUUGUUUGCCCUAGUUGUUUGUGUGAUUGGAAUAUGUUUUAUAAGUGUGUCAGCAAUCUUAAUAAAUAAUAAUCAAUGGCUUGUUUUCUUUGUACUAAUUAUUUGCUAUUUUCUUUGUUAUGGAAUCUUUCAUGCCAGUUAAUUGAAUAUUUCAUUGCAUUUUUGCCCAUUGCAGUUGAUUCUGAACAAAGUUCUAUUGCUUGGCUCUGCUAGUCAGACAAUUAUCGGCAGACCUAUAGUACCAGAUGCAGCUGUUCAUGCUGUUGUUGAGGAGCAUGUAAGUGUAGAACUUCCCAUUUAAAUUGUGUAGAAUCAACUUUUUUUAUGAUGGGAGUAGGAAUAGCAUAGGCUUGGAUAGAAUGAUCUGCUCUCUCAGUCUUUACUGUUCCAUUCAAGACUUUUUUUAUGGUGGGAGUUGCAUCUAUGUUCCAUUUACUGUUUUUUCUAUUCAUUCAUUUGCAUUCAUAAUGAAAAAAGGAAUUAAAUUGCCAAUUGUGACUAAAUGACAUAAUCUCCUCUGGUUUUCAAAAUUAAAAAAGAAUCAUAUAUUUUGCAUUUGUGUUAUAAGGAGGGUCUCUUAGGAGCUGUUUGUUUGGUCCACUUCCUCUUUUCAUUUUCAAAGAAAAUUGAAAAUACAGUUGAAAAUGUUUCGUUGAACUUAAAAAACAUUUUUUAGAAAAUCUUGCUGAAAUUAAGCCCAAAUCUGAAAACAAAAAAUAAUAAUUUUGAGUGUUUUCCUAUCAUGCUACAAUUUGACAUCUCAAUGGCUUUUGAGUUCUGAAUGCUGCUGGUACCUCUCCACCUAUGUUGCAACACUCUCCUUCGCCACUCACCAUUUGCUCAAAGUUUACAAAUUCUCAACCAAACUAGAUCCAAGUCUCUGACUCUAUUGCCAUUUUGUCCUAAUGCCAUUUUGAUCCAUCGCACCCAUCCUUGUGAUUUGGUUUUUGAAAUAGUAGAAUAAUGGUGCUCAUAAUGAUUUCCUUUUAUCAUGGUCUGUGUGUGCUGCCCCUCUUUCCUGCUGGCUACAUUGCCUGUUCCUCUGAACUGUAUCCAUGCAUUAUAAUUGUCCUAUUUCUAAUAGCUUUAGAUUUCCAUGUGAUGCAAUAAUGAAAAUUUUCUGGUUUUUCUAACCACUGUAUAUUUGAUUUCUUUCCAUACACUUGCAUGUGUGCUCAUUUUCCCUUUAUACCAGGCACUUGAUGCAAAGGUAAUUAUUUUUAAGAAAAAGAGAAGAAAAAAUUACCGAAGAACCAAAGGACAUCGUCAGGUGUGUUGGAAAUCAAUUAUUUUAUCACGUAAAGUUUGAUAUCAUUUAUUUGAUGCUAAUUCUACUUGAUGCAUGGUUAUCAUCUUCAGGAGUUGACUAAGUUAAGGAUAACUGAUAUUCAAGGAAUUGAGAAACCUCAAAAUGUAUUGCCUGAAAAACCUCCAAAACCUGCUAAGAAAGAAAAGGAAAAAGUUGCAGUUACAGCUUAAAAAGGAUGUACCUACCCCCUUGGGUGUUGAUGGUUAUUGCUAUCUUUUUGUCUCAGUGAGUUUUGAUAGUUGGAUGGCAUGUAGGAGCAUGGUGGUAUUGCUGGUGAUAGUCAAAACCAUCCACUCAGUAGUAGGGUUUUGUAGAAUUGUUACACAAAUUUUCUUUUCCCUCUGUAAUGCUAUAACUAGUGAUUCGACGUUUGAAACGUAGAUCCAUUGAUUCUUAAAUUGGUUUCAAGAAAUUUAAUAAUGACUCCUGUACUAUUUUGUUAGUCAAAAACAUGAUACUAAACAAUGCUUUUUACCAAUUUCUGACAAACAAAAAAAUUCAAACUUUGACAUUAUCAUCCUGUGCUUCGAAAAGCAAAGGUUCUGGAGAAAAAGGAUUCUGACAUGAACUAUAGAGUGCCGUCUAAAGAUGCAAAUGAGUUGAAAAAACUUGAAUGCCAAAAGCUCAAGCUUGGCCUGUGAAAAGAAUUAUGGCUCUCAGGAUUUAUUUAAGCUGGAGCUUGGUUUGUUAGAAAAAUAUAAAGUUUGUACUUAAUAACUUGUUAGGCUAAAAAAUAUAGUAAUAAAUAGAAUAUUUAACAUAGGAAAUAUGUAGUGAUGAUUUAUGAAAUUAACAUUUUUUUAACAUUAUAUAUUCACUCAUUAUUUACCAGUUUUUAAUGUCAAGUUUGAGGUUUUUUUUAGCUUAUCGAAUACUUAACAAGUUGGGUUUAAAUAAUUUAAAAGUGCAUUUAUACUUUUACGGGAAAUUAUGUCUUUAUCUAUAUUGAUAUUAGAGAAUUUGAUUAUUUAUAUAAUUGAGUUUAUAAUUAAGUUUGAAAUUAAUAUUAUAUUAAAACAAAUGAACUAGGUCAACAUUUAGCAAAUUGUGUUCAAAUACUUAACAAUAUCUCAGGUCAUUUACACUAUAUUGACUUAAAUGCAGUGUCUGAAUGUGUCACUAUUGUGGAAAUCUCUUCCUAUUUCUUAAAAGUUGAAAAACUCUAUUAGGAUUUUUAGGCCCAGAAAGCUUAAAUAAAGUGGCAUCAUUUCGAGAUUUCUUGAAACUAAGAUCAAGUUCCAUCCAUGUCGACUUUUCCAGGACUUUUCUCAUCUUCCCACAGUGGGGGACAUAUGGUUUGUAAUAUUGCAUCAUGAAUACAAGAGAAAUUUCUGAUUUAGUUAUUAUUACCCUUUAACAAAGUUUCUCAAAAAACACAAAAUAAAAUAAAUUAAGGUAGUAAAAUGAAUCAAUGUUUUUGCACAGUUUAACUUCUUUAAAACUCUUACCUAAAUUAUUCAUAAAUACUUACAAAUUUAAUAGAUUAACAUUUUGCUAGUGACAGAUUUUUAUGAUAAAAAACCGUCCAUAAGCUAGAAUACAAUAAUCUAACUCUUUGAGGUGGUAAAGAAGAAAAACAACAACACAAUCUAUUUUAUGAACGAUGAAUCUGGUAUUAGGAUAAUACUCUUUCCAGAGGCUAUAAAUGAAUUGGUGGGUCUUGAGAUAUCUCUUUCAUUGAUAGCCACCCCUAUAUGAAAAAUAAAAAAGAUCAGACUUGUCAAUUGUCAUUGUCAAAUGUCCAUUCGAUUUUAUAUCCAAACUUGGGACUAUUACUCAACUUUGGAUAGAGAUAGAGACAAUGACUGAGUUUUACGUUAAUUUCCACAGUUUACUAUGGACAACAACAUCAGGAUUCAAGUUCAA
This 74379-nucleotide long non-coding RNA is filed under the name Glycine max (soybean). RNAcentral describes it as "long non-coding RNA (GMAX_LNC002939)". The record is from RNAcentral. Lineage: Eukaryota; Viridiplantae; Streptophyta; Magnoliopsida; Fabales; Fabaceae.